This 59620-nucleotide long non-coding RNA is filed under the name Vitis vinifera (wine grape). Its description in RNAcentral is "long non-coding RNA (VVIN_LNC005185)". The record is from RNAcentral. Lineage: Eukaryota; Viridiplantae; Streptophyta; Magnoliopsida; Vitales; Vitaceae.
UCCACCAUGGGUGCAUUACACCUCCUCGUCUUGGCUCUCUCCACGCUCGCCGUUUCCGUCAGAGCUCACAAUAUUACCGAUAUGCUCUCUCCCUUCCCGGAGUACAGCCUCUACAACAGCUACCUCAGCCAAACUAAGCUUGCCGACGAGAUCAACAGUCGCCAAACACUCACCUGCCUUGUCCUCAACAAUGCCGCUAUGUCUGCGCUGGCCGGGAAACACCCCCUCUCCGUCAUCAAAAAGGCUCUCAUGCUCCUCGUGGUUUUGGACUACUACGACGGCAAAAAGCUCCACGAAAUCUCCGAUGGCACCACUCUUUCCACCACUCUCUACCAAACCACCGGUAAUGCUCCUGGUAAUCUUGGUUUUGUAAACAUUACAGAUCUGAAAGGUGGCAAGGUCGGUUUCGGCUCGGCGGCUCCCGGCUCCAAGCUUGACUCGAGUUACACGAAGAGUGUUAAGCAGAUCCCGUACAAUAUCUCGGUUCUUGAGAUCAGCGCGCCGAUCAUUGCGCCGGGGCUUCUGACGGCUCCGGCUCCGUCGGCUUCUGAUGUGAACAUUACGGGUUUGCUUGAGAAAGCUGGAUGCAAGACGUUUGCGUCGUUGCUUGUGUCGACUGGUGUGAUCAAGAUCUAUGAGUCAGCGGUGGAGAAAGGUUUAACUGUUUUCGCGCCUAAUGAUGAGGCUUUCAAAGCUGAUGGUGUGCCUGAUCUGACCAAGCUCACCAAUGCUGAGCUGGUGACGCUUUUGCAGUAUCAUGCUGUCGCUGCAUACAGUCCGAUAGGGUCGUUGAAGACUAGCAAAGAUCCGAUCAGCACGCUUGCAACUAGCGGCGCAGGGAAGUACGAUCUGACAGUGUCCACCGCCGGAGAUUCCGUUACCCUGAAGACCGGCGUGGACUCGUCCAGAGUAGCCGACACCGUGCUUGACGCUACGCCACUCUGCCUCUUCACCGUUGACAACUUACUCCUCCCGACCGAGUUGUUCGGAAAAUCUCCAUCUCCGGCACCUGCACCGGAACCAGUGUCAUCCCCCUCCCCAACUCCAGCGGUCUCUCCAAGCCCGUCACCAGCUGCCGAAGCACCUACACCCGUCUCCUCCCCUCCAGCUCCACCGAUGGAGUCGCCGGAAGGCUCUCCGUCAGAUGCCCCUGCUGAAUCAGAAAACAGCACGACGGACAAAUCGGCCGUCGACGUCACCGCUCCGGCAGUGUUGAAACUACUCGCCACGGUCAUUUUCACGGUUCUGUUGUCCUGAAUAGUAAUUUCCUUGGAUUGUUAAUUUAUUUCACUUUAUUUUUCCACGGUUUUCCCUUUUUCUUACUUUCAGCUUGGGUAGAGAGUUUUUUGUUCUUUUGUUUUUAAUUUAUUUUCAACAAUAUUUAUGGUUGGGGUGGGGUGCAGCGAUGAAGCUGCGCAUUUUAGCAGCACAGGGCAGUGGAAAUGAUAGUGAGGACAGUGGACACAGGGGUUGUUGAUUGUAUUUGUUCAGCUUUUUUUCUAUGAGAAACAUGUUGUUAUUAUCGGGUGUUUCGCACUGUAUUAUUUUAAUCCAAAAUUUUCUUGGAUAUAGCCAUGAUGGGUGGAAACCAAGGGCGUGGAUUGCAGGAUCUGACAGGAGCCAUGUGAUGGCAUGUGGACCACCGUUUUCCCCACUCGCAUUCAGUGGCAGCCAUCUAUGGAUUAAACAGCGUUCAUUUUCUCCGCGUAGCCACUUAUUUUGGCCAGUGAUAAUGGCUUCUUCUUUCUUUUAAAAAAAAAAAUUGUCGGUGAGGACAGAGAAUGCCCAAAGAUUCUUGUCUUUAAAAUGUGGUGUUAUGCUUAUAAAUAGAAAUUAAAACCAUGAAUGGUCUAGAUUGGAGGAGACCUCCAAAUCAUGUAUUAACGAGAAGUCACUGGAACCUUCCCGAACAAAAGACCUCAAUUGAAACGGACGAGUUUGUGAGAAAACUAAAUAAAAUCAGAGUGUGGAGGUGGAGUCCAGUUAUUAUUACCUGGCAUUUAUUAGGUUUUGGCCUCUCCCUCUGGUUUUUGCUAUGUGGUCCACCUAAUAACACUGGGUGAUGAAUCGAGGUGUUCUUGAUUUGGAACAUACAAGCUGGGCCAACUGAAAAUAAAUUUGCUCACAUCCAUCCAAAAUAUUUAUAUUUAUUAGGAAAUUGUUAGGUCACGGAUUUAUGGUCAAAUCCAACCAUGAAUUAAGCUACAAUAUAUAAGAUCAAGAUAGAAAAUAAAUGGACUCAAGGUAUUAUUCAAUAAGAUGAAAGUAGGGUACCAAAUGAUAAGAUCAAAUUGCAUACAUGUGAUUAUUUUUAUUUUUCAAUGGGUGCCAAAUAAUAAAAUCUAAGUUAUUCAACUAUAGUGUAAAUACAUUGAUUAAGGUAUAAAUAAAUGAUACCAAAAUAAAUAAAUUCAAUUGGACCAAAAUAUAAAUGAGGUACAAAAUAUUUUUUUUGUUUUGAUAAAUAAAGAGUUUAAAUUGAAUUAAGAAGAGCUAUCAAAAGAGCCGUUGCAACAGUGAACUAGAAACAAAUCUCCUUUGACCAUCAAGAUCUGAAUAAAGGAAAAAUAAAAUAAUGUCUUAAACAAGUACCCGAUCAUUCAAAAAAAACUUAUUAAAAUCGAUAGAUAAUCAUCUAUAAACAAUUUAAACUCUCACUAAAGAUAUUAAAUAAAAUCCUUUUUGACCUAUGCAAAUAAAAAAACUUCAUUAUCGAAUAUAAUUUUGUUUCUUAUCUUCCGAAACCAUUCAGAAUAAACACGAAAAGUUUGUUCUUCAAACCUUCUUAUGUUUUUUGUCCACAAAAAAGCUAUAUCACUCCGAUAGAGUCUUUGUAAUUUAUGAAGAUAACGCCUAAGAUAUCCAAAAAGUAUAAAAAGUAAUUCUCAUAAAACCCUUAUUUUUUCACAACGAAGAGGAUAUGAUCAUUGUGAUAUUAAGUAUAAUGAACCUUACUAAUGUGAGGAGGCUAUGAGUUGGAACCCAUUAGUAAAAAUAGAAUUCUAUGAUUUUGAAAACAAAAUCUACCCAUUGUUUUGGAUCACCGACAAGGUAUAAAAAAGAUAUAUAAAUUUAAACUCCUUCAUUAAAUAUGAAAAAAUCCCUCAAAACUAUUGACCUAAUUGGCUUGGUUUCAACCACAGAACCUUGUUGACCCUCAAAAUUCUAUAAAACCCAUUUCCCAAACAUUAAAAAAAACAGAGACUUGGACAUGGGAAUAUUCCAAAAGGAAUAAGCAAUUCAUCUGCAUAUAAAUAGAUAUGACCAAUGACAAAACUCUGUUUGUAUGAUAAUGGUGUCUGGCUUUGCCACAGUUGGAUCCCACUACCAGGAUCAUGGUAGGGCAUAUCUCAAAGUGUGUGGUGUGUAAUGGAUAUUUGGGUUUAUCUUCAAGUCAAAUUUCGAAAUAGAGUUACUAGAAACCAUCAAGUGCAGCUUCAAAUUCAAGGAAAAUGCUAAGCUAGUUCCUAGAAAAAGAAGUGGAGCUUCAAAUUCAAGGAAAAUGUUAGAAAUGUCGUAUCUAUAAAACAAAAUAUUCGAUGGUGGAAUAUGGGUACAAACUUAACUCCAUUCACCACUACGACACGAACCCACAUAUUUUUCAUGGAUUUUGAUUGAUUAUUAACGAGUUUUUGUUGAUGUCGAGUCAACUGGAUUCAGAUCCGUCCAAUUUCAUUGGAGUUUGAUGAACUUUUUCCCUACACAGAAGGAUGGUCGGGGCAUGCCCCUCUAAAGCUUAAGUCAUAAAUCAACGAGGAUAACUCUAAUUAUUUUUAGGGAGAAAAUGAGUGUAUGUGUAUACCUUGUUCGUGCUUCUUAAGGGGUUUAUAUAGAGUUGAUAGCACUGUUAUUAUCUUUCUUGUAAUGAUGAUUGCCCGGCAAAAAUCGAGCCUUGAUAGGACAAUCAAUGUCGUUAUUGUGGCGCAUAUUGGGCAAUCACAUCUAGUAAGGGCGACUAAUUGGUGUCAUUUGUUGACCGUCAUGCCAAAAUCUCGAAUUGUGUAGCUGACUGUCCUUUUAGUUUGUCAAUGUUUGAGAUUGUGUGUAACAAUUAAUUAACAUUGACUUUUGGAUGUAAAUGACGUCUAGUCCGCCGCUUAGACGUCAGGCGUUUAGGCUGUCACUCAAACAUCAGGCAUCUAGUCCGACGCUCAAACAUCAGGCAUCUAAACUGACGCUCAAAUAUCAGGUGCGGUUGACCACGUAUGACAUAAAUCUUGAAGACUUAACUGGAUUGAUUUACCUGUUUGACAGAUCCAGCUAGUUUGGUCUGUCCAUUCCGUCUGACAUUGUGGAAGAAGGAAAAUUUCUCACUUCUGGUGCCAAAUGAAACUUAUCUUGGUUUAGACAAAGUGAUCCCAGAUGGGUUAUAUGUUUGCCUUAGUCAACCAAAGAGUCUUGAGUCUGAGAAUGACACAUGGAGGGAAGCCCCGCAAUUUUGAUCAACACAUAUAACCUGUUUAAUAAACAAAUAAUUUUUGAAUCAAUAUGCAUAAUAUGAAUUCAACCAUUUAAUAAUUUUAUUAUUAACUUAAUUAUAUAUUUAAAUUAUUUAAUUCAUAUUUGAUUCAUUUUAAAUUUGCUUUUAAAUAAAUAUGUUAAUUAAAUUAUAAACAUGUUUUAUCGAAAAAUUAAUCAUAUAAACAUAUAUAAACCUAACUCGAUUAAGAUGACUUGAUUAUUAAAUAAAUAAUACGACGUAUUAUUUCUUUAAUAAUUAAGUAAUAUUUAAGUAUAUGUUUUUUAUACAAUUAUUAUUCAGUUGGGUUUAAGUUGAGUUAUAUAAUAAAAUACCUAAACUUUGACACAACAUGAAACACACGAUCCACCAACACGAAUUGUCACCAUAUUACAAAUGAAUAGAAUUAAGAUAUAAAGAUGCAAAUAAAUAAAAUUAAGAUAUAAAUAAUAAAACCUACAAAUGGAUAAGUUUACUUUGGUUUAGUGUUUUUUUUUUCUUUCAGUUUCUCAAUUUGACGGUGGCAUUGGCUGUGUGAUGAAUCAGAUGGGAACUGGAAAGGGGUAAUUUGGAUUGAGGCCGAAUUUGGGAUUUUACUUCAAAAAAUAAAAUAAAAUAAAAUUGCAAGGCAAAAUAAUUUAAAAAUAAAUAAAAAAUGCCAACUCGUUUAUUUUAAAUAAAAUUUAUUUUAAUACAAAUUUAAAAUAUUUAAAAUUCGGUGACAAUAAUUACCCAGUGAACUCUCCGUCUGAAAGUCCUAUACAAUCUAUCCUAUACAAUAUUUGCUUUCUUAAAACAGAAAAAAUAAAGCAUGCUUGUUGAGUAUUUUUGAAAACGGUUUAAAAUAUAAUUUUUGACAACAGUUUUUGAAAAUAAUUCUUUAAUCUUUAGUAAAACAAAAAUCGAUUUAGAAACAUAAAUAUUUUUAAAUAUAUUUUAAAAAUAAUUUUUAUAUCUAAUAUUUUAUUUUUUAUCAUUCAAAAAGAUGUUUUAUACUAUUCCGUCACAGUCUUUUUAGUUUAUAUUAAUUAUUUGUUAAAAAUAAAAAUGUAUUUUAUUUUAUUUUAAAAAAUAUAAUUUGAAACACUAAAAGAAAGAAUAACUUGUUGGAAAAAGUAUUGUAAUUUUUAUAUAAUAUAUAAGAAGUUUUUUAGACUUUCUUAGGUUGAUAAUGAUUUUUAAAUAUUAUCUUUUCAAAUUUGGAGUAUUAUCAAAUUUUUACUAUCUUAAAUUUUAAAUUUUUAAAAGUAAUUACUUAAUAUUUUGAUAAAUGCACGUUUUAACCCUUAUGAGUUCAUAAUUUUAUCAAAAUUUUCCCUUGAAAAUGAUAAAUAAAAAGGGUAGGGAUGGUAUAUAAUAAAACCUCGGUAAAAUAUUUAAAAAAAAUAUUUUUAAGAGAAUCAUAAUAUUUUUUUUAGAAAAUAUUAUAAGUGAAUUUUUAUUUUUUUUAAAUUUUACUAAAUAUUUUAUUUUUUUUAAAUACUUUUUAUGAUAAAAGCAUUUUUUUAAUGAUUAAAAGUAAUAGUAAUUUUACUAAUUUAUAUAUAAAUUAAAAUGAUUCUUUGAAAUUUAUCUAAAAAUGAUAAUCACUUUUAAAAUUUAUUUAAAAAAAUUUUAAUUAAUUUUUUUAAAAUAAAAUUGGAAAUGAUUUUUAAAGAGGAAUUUAAAGCGACGUCGUUUAAAUUCUAUUCAUCUAGGCAACUACUCGAGAGUCAAGAGGCAAAAAAGCAAAGCAUAGCCGCAAGGGGACGUCGAUGGCAAUGGCGAAGGGCAAUCAACAGCAAGAGAAACGACACCGUUCCAUCUUCGACCUUCCUACAACCUUCUUGUACUCCUGUCGUCUCCUUCCUUCUUCUUCUUCUUCGUCGUAUUCUGCAAAUCUUUUUUCAGAAACGAAGGCUGCGUCUCCAAGCUCAACUCUCGAAACCCUAGACGAGUCCAAGAAGUUGGAGCACAGUGCUAAUACUUCUCUGUCCAGAUGGUCCUGCAACACCUGCAAGUCCGAGUUCGACUCCCUCCAAGACCAACGCUCCCAUUUCAAAUCCGAUGUUCAUCGGUUCAAUGUAAGAACUCUGCGUUUCUGUCCCCAAAUUUUGAUUUUUGCCAUCAUAACAAUGGAAAAGUCUAGGUUUAGAUGCGUUUUCAAUAAUGGACGGUGGCGCUCUCGUUCUCCUAUUGCUCAAUUGAGCUCAUUGGCUGCAAUGUUUCCUGUAAAAUCUUAUAAUUUGACUAAGAUUUUGUUUAUAAAACCAGGGGCUCAUGCGUGCAACACUCGGAAUGGAAAGCAAAAAUUGGAAUUUUGGAAUUGUGAAAUUAUGUUCAAUUAUUUAGAUUUAUGAUGGUGAAUUGUAAAGUUUUUGUCUUCGUUGAUCCUGAAUUCGAAAAUCAUUUUUUUUUUUUUUUUAUAGAUUUUGAUGCUUUAUUUAUUUUAUUUUUGCUAAAGCUUCUGUCUUUUUGUAAUGAAUGAAAAACCAUGAUACACUGUUCUUAUUUAUUCAAAUAUCUGAAUGAAAAAACUGAUAUAUCUAUCGCUCUUUUGGGCAUGUUUUGUAAGAUAGUUGCAAAGUUUAAGAGUUGAACUGAUUUUAUUCUAUCAGAAGUGUCAGUCCCAGAAGUUGCACUGAAUUACUGUAUUGUCAGAGAAGCAAGUCUGAGACUGUGUAACGAGAGUGUCAUUGUUCUUACAUUUAUUAAGAACAUUUAACUAUUAUGUGUAAGCUAGGUCCAUCUUGAAGUUUUAGAUAAAAAAAUUUCCUGUUUCUGACCAAGCAAACAGUUUCAUUGUUGUUUCCCCAAUCAUUUUCAUUGCAUUUAUUUGUUAAUAUAUUUUCUCAGGUAAAGUUGAGCAUCGCCGGAAAGGGUAUUGUGAAAGAGGAAGACUUUGAUGAGCUAACUGCAGAUACUUUGUUCAAAGACUAUGAUAUAUCGAGUAUAUCAGGAUCAGAAGAUGAAGUUGACAAGAGAUGUUGGGCCCAGAAUGACAUGCACAAGGGUUCAGAUGACAAUGUUAAACGAAAGCUAUUUAUUCAGCUUCAGACAGGGGAGAAAGUUUCACUUUGGAAGUGUUUAGUUUUGGAUGAAUCUGAAAAUAUUUCAUAUGAGAACGACCCUGGUUGUUGCAUGCCAUGUUUGAAAGAGAGUGAUGUGAUUGAGAAGUUGAAAACUGUGAUCCACGAGCCUAGGGAUAAUACCCAUUUGAGGGUUGUGUUGCUUGCUAGUGGUGGGCAUUUUGCUGGCUGUGUCUUUGAUGGUAACUCUGUUGUGGCUCACAGAACAUUCCACAGGUUAGUGUUCCUCUUUACUUGAUUCAAUCAUCCAAAUAAGGGUAAUGGAGAUAAAAAGGUGAACUGUAUCACCAUCAACUUUAUCACCAUCUGAUUUUUCUUCAUUUCCAGUGGUCAUCGCAGGGUAAUAGUGUAAUACCUCCUGUUAUUUAGUAUUCCUAAAUUUAGCACUAUACCACUGAUUUUCCAUUUUCUAGAGUUGACUGGGUUUCUUUUCUGCCUUUUUUUUUCUUUUCCUAAUGAAGUCACUGAUAUACGUAGUUGGGUAUCUUUUAAUGAAGGACCUUCAGUGGUCAUUGGCAACAUCAUAUGCAAUUCUGUGAUCGAGAUGUUAGACCUGUGUAUAAUUUCAUGAUUUAUGCGUUACCAAUACCAAGUGAUAGAUAAUAUUUAGAAUUGUUAUAAUAAUUUCUUCUUAAUUAUUUAUUUAUUCUUUUGAUCCUUAUGAUAUCUUUCAUCCUUAUUUUUCAAUUAUCUAGUCUUAUCCAAAUGCGCAGGAAUUUGAACUGAUACCCAGAAAAGUAGAUAGGUCUGAAUUUGAACAUGAUUCUAUCUACUACCUUGAGCUGACUUGGCACAAUUGGGAAUCACAACCACAGCAUUGGGAUUUGGAGUCUGUUAAGUUUGCCUUGGACCUAGUGGGGAUAGCAUUUCCUAAAAUUGAUUUAAUGUUGAGCAGUCCAAUCAUUUGAACACACACAUAUACAUGUAGUAUGGCAUCCAUCUUCCUUUAACAACAUUGAGGAACUACCAAAUCUGGUCAAACUAUCGUCAAUUAUAUUCAUAUUGACAUUGGCUACCUCCAAGAGGAUUAGGUCUUCUGAUCAAAAAAAAAAAAAAAAGAGGAUUAGGUCUUGAAAUAGUACAUCUUGACAUUGGCUACUUACAAGAGGAUCAAGUCUUGAUCUGUGUGCUAUUUCACUCUUUCAGGGAUGUUUGCUUACAAUUUAAUUGUCUCAUGCAGCAAGUGAGAGAGUAGUGAGAAAAUAUUCUUCAAAAAGAAAAGAAAUCUGGUUAUGUUAUAUUGGAACUUGGUCAUAUGGUAGUUCCUAACUAGGAUUAUGUAUUGAUGGUCCAUCUUUGUGCUUAGUUGGGAACUUCUUCUUCUUUUUAAAAGCGAGUCUGAAUUGGGUGACUAUGUUUUACCAAAUUACAAGGCGUGCUAAAUUGAUUUCACAGUCACCUUUGGGUGGCUUGCUUUCUCUCUCCUAAAAGCAGUAGCUUACAGGUCAGACCCAGAAAUAAAUGACAUAUUUUUCCCAUUCUCUGUGCAAUAGCAAUAUUGGUAGAGUAAACGGGUUUUCCGCUUGUGUAACUAUGAUGAAAGUGAAAGAAUAUUUUAAUUUUUUAAUGGAAGAAAAAUCCAAAAAUGUCAUUUUAAAAGUUAAGAUAUAGAGCUUUUGAAGAUCUCUUUACUUGUUUGCAAUCAUACAAACAACGGAUGUACUGUUAAUCAGUUUCCAACAGUUGUUUCAUGCACAAUUUUACAGAUCAAAAUUUAUACUUCAUUACAUAUAUUAUAUAUCCAAUUUUGGCCCAUGAAAUUGCUUCUAACUAAUCUAUCAAAACUAAACAAAAGAAUAUAAAGAGAGAAUCCUCAAACCUGUAUGGUUUGUAGUUAACUUCAUGCCCACUAGUUCUAAUUGUGGUGCUCUAUGUAGAGGUGGCCAAAAUCAUAUAAUGUUUUUCAUUAUAGUAGGUAUGCGUUAUCAUCUUUUCAAGUGUUUAUCUUUGCGUGGAAGUGAAUAGAAUUUAUUCAAGCCUGACUUCAAUUGCCAAUUUUGAAAAAUUAUUGGAUGCAUCUGAUGUUUUCUCUUUGGGUAUGGGUCAACUUUUUUUGUUAUCAUGUAGAUAUGUCGUAAGGGCCAAGGCUGGUAAAAAGCAGUCAUCAAAAGAUGCAGGUGGCAGGGCUGCACAUUCUGCUGGAGCUUCACUUCGCAGAUAUAACGAACUCGCUCUGAAGAAGGUAUUCAAUAUUUGGUGGUUCAACUUGUUUGCAAUAGACUUGUCAAACUAUUUACUUUUGUUGUUUCAUGAAUAAUUUCAUUUUGAUUUUUAGCAGGUAUGCCUGUUUGUGAAUGAAAUUUAGAUGUUCUACUGAAUUAACCUAAUUGUAGUUUGGUGAUAAUUAUCACAUGAGGAAAGAUAUGGUCUAAUACUUCAAAAACGCUUCAGUUCACCUCGCAGGCCCCCAUUUCCACUUACAUUUGUUCUCACACUGUCAUGCUAGCAUGUAUUUGCUUAAACUGCUAAAAUAUGUAUGGAUACAUCUGCUGUUGAAUGUGCGAUAUUCUACUGAGACAUUAUCAUGUCUAUACCAUUUAUUUUCCAUUAUGUUAACAAUAGCCAUCUUUUACAAUUACCUUAGUUGUACAGCAGCAAAUUUUUAAGUUUGGUACCAUGUGUGUAAUAUUUAAAUUAAUUUUCCCGAUCUUUUACUGCUGGCUUAUUUAUAUAUCUCACUAAUAUUCUAGGAAAUUCAAGAAUUACUUGCUUCUUGGAGGCCUUAUUUUGAGGCUUCCUCCUGCAUCUUCAUUUAUGCUCCUUCAAACAAUCGUCAACUGCUUUUUAAUGGGGAAAAGGCGUAUUUCAGUAACCAGACUGCUGCUCGAAAUGUUCCAUUGACUGUUCGAAGGCCUACAUUCAAGGAAGCCCAGCGUAUAUAUAACCAAUUGACACAAGUUGCCUAUGAUAUGGAUGAGACGGAAUCUCCAGAAAGCAUCAAAGAUGAUUCACUUUUAAGGUUAAGCACUAUUAGCAUCAACAGCCCAGAGUCCAGCAAGGUGGGCACAGAGGACAACUUGGAGAGAAGGGUAGCCACUGAAGCAUGUUCAAGUAACAAAAAAUCUGAUGACAUGCCCAUAUCAAGUGAGAGUGAGCAUGAAUUUACUGGUUCAUCAACACCUUUACAUGAAGCAGCAAAGUCUGGAGAUUGUCAUAAAGUCUUGGAACUCCUAGAGCAGGGUUUGGAUCCUUGCAUUAUAGAUGAAAGGGGGAGGACCCCAUAUAUGCUGACAACUGAGAAGGAAGUCAGGAAUACUUUUAGACGGUUCAUGGCCUCCAACCUGGACAAGUGGGAUUGGCAUGCUGCAAGAGUGCCCAGUGCAUUGACAAAGGAAAUGGAGGAAUCUCAAGCAGCUAAGCAGGUAUAGCUGAUAUGCUUUUUAAUGAUUCAUAUAUGAAGAUUAUCUUGGCAUCUGAAUUAGUUGCAAAUGUCAUGUUACUUUGUCAUUUCUAUAUGUCCCUUGCAUGCAUAAAAUUCUUGUUACUUGAUGAGGUUUCAAUAGGUUCUAUCUGUACAAGUUAUAUACUUUUUGAGCCCUUGCUUUCUUAGAUUGAUAUCCUUGUAUUUAUCUUCUCAAUUGAGAGGUGCUUUUUCCAUGGCUUCCUUGAUUGUUAUAUUUGUUGAUUAGUAUUUUUUGUUGAUUUUAAAAUUGAUGAUAGGUCUUCUUUUCCUUAUCAGGCAGAUAAAGAUGCAAAGAGGAAAGCAAGAUCAAAAGAGCUGAAGAAACUGCGGAAAGCAAAAGAAAAGAAGGCUCAGGUGCACAUUCUUCAGUCUUUGUCCUAAUAUUUUAUCGUGUUGUUCAUAGAAAGCUUCUGUUCUUAUCAAUAGUGACUUGCUGCUACUGGAUUAGGCUAUAGCUUUACCAUGAAUCUAUUUUAAGAGAGAAUUGUUUUAGUGUGAGUGAGUGAUUUAUUAACAAAAGUCAAAAAGGAGAAUGUAACUUUUGAUGAUUAUAUCAAUUAAUAUAUCUUGUCUUCCAACAUAAUUCAUUAUUAGAGGGUCAAACUAUAUACUGCAUUUCUCAUUAAUCUUAUCACCUCUGUUUUUUAUAUGCAGGCUCAGGCUGCCUUAGCCCAGAAUUCCUCAACAGUUUCAGAGAAUCAAGGAGCUAAGCUGGUUUCAGUUCUCAAGGGACAGCCUCAAUCUAGUAGCACCAUAUCCAGAGAGGUUAGAUUUUUUUAAUUUUAAUUUUAUUUAUUUAUUUUUGAGUAAUGACCUUGCUGAGUGUGUUUCACCAAUCUCUCACUUUAUUUUGACUUUCUACUUUUAAUGGGGAGCAAAGUUCUGCUUGAGCUAGUGCUUGCUCAGCUAAUUGCCUCCCAUGUUGUGAUCAUUUUGGAUCUCAACUAAAAUAAAGAAUUUGAGGUCACCUUUAAUUUGAGGUCAACUUUUUUGUUCUUCAUUCAGGAGGAACUGAAGAGAGCAGCUACUGCUGAGAGGGAAAAGAGAGCAGCAGCUGCUGAGAGGAGAAUAGCAGCAGCUGCAUCCCUCAAUGCUCAAGGGCCUGGUACAACCAUUGGACCAAGUAGUUCACAACCAAAAAGUGGGAUAGCAUCUGACAUAAACUGCUCCUACUGUUAUGCAUCAUUAGCUGGUAAAAUCCCGUUUCACAGGUAUAAUUACAAAUAUUGCAGCACAACAUGCAUGCAUGUACACAAAGAGAUACUUGAGGAUGGAUAAAAGAAAAAAACACUUCCAAUAUAUGUACACAUUUUUUAUUUUUCAAUUCAUGGAUUUUUCUCUUGGUGUUAAAUCUACUUAUUCCAAGGUGUUUAAUUUAAUCAUGCAUUUUUUUUUUUGUUUCAUUUUCACAUACAAAUACUGCCGGCCUUGUUUGGAAAAAAUCGUUCCACCAAACUCUCACAUCGUCUCUGAACCUUAACUUUUAUUAAUAGUUUGGUUAUUUAUUGAGCUCAUAACUUUCUUGUUUAGUUAUAAUAUUUUCUUGAUUGCUAUGAUGUUUGAAGGACAUUUAUCAUUGGUUACUUCAUGCAUUGUUGGAAUGGGCAUGACUGUUCCUGUGAUAACUUAUUGCAACUAAAAAACUUAUAAGUGAUAUGAUGAGAACAUGGGCAAAACUAUAUUGUAAAUCCAGUUGUUGGACAACAUUUUUAUUGCUAUAUGAUCUCCUUGUUAUCUCCAUCCAAAACACGAUACAUGAAUAUGUGUUUGUUACCUAUAGACAUGUUUACUAUCCAGAUGAAUGAUAUGCCUGUCCUGUUAGACAUGGAACUUGAUUGGCUGAUCAGCCCCAAGUACCAUGAACCGGGUGUAGGUAAAAACUGAACCUAGUGAGUUCUAUAUCUAUUGUGCUGGAUCCUCUUCCCUUUGUGCCUCUGCCUGUUGUACCUCUGCCCCUUUUAGUUGUUUAACCUCUCCAUCCUCUAGCCUUUUGAUUUGCCUUCCAAUGAUCAGCAUAGCAGUAUAGCUUGAACAGAACCCAAUACUAUCGAUGAUGAUCUGCAACAGUGAAAUGGGGUGCUGAUCCUUUGCCCCAUCUGCCAAGUUCCUCAUCAAAAUCCCACUGAGAAAUACACAAGAUCAAGUUAUAAUGACACAAUUUGCAUAUACAUAGUUAUUCCAGGCUCUGUUUCUGUAAGGUUUUGAACAAAAACAUUCAUUAACAAAUUGGAACCCUAGGGUAAAAAGAAGAGGUCCAACCUGUAGAUUGCAGCAAAAAUAUCAGGCACCACUCCGACCAAUGACCCUACCAGGUAAGCACUGUACUUGAUGUUGGUGGCACUAGCAAUAUAGUUGAACAUUCGGUAUGGAAAUGGUGAAAUUCUAAUGAAGACAACAGUACAAAACUGUCGAAACCAAUUUCCUUGGAAGGCUAGUCUUACAAUGGAAGCGUCUUUUGGAAUUCUAAACCACAAUCUCUGAUCAAAACAAAACAACGAAUCAAUAUAUGUUACUUGUAUGAUGAGAGAGUGACAUGAAAUAGAAACAGAGCAGUACUGACUCGGAUCUUAGAGCGGAAGGGAUAAGCAAUGAAAUAUGGUAAUGUCACGCCCACAGCUAUCCCAGGUAUGAUUAUUAGGAACCCCAGCUCAUACCCAAAAACAAUUCCGGCAAUCCACAAGGAUGGCGUAGAUUCCAGAAGAGCAGCAGGGAACAAUGCCAAAGAAGCAAAUAUCGCCGCUGCUAGCUCUAAAGGACUGAAAUUUACCGCAAGCCAUUUGAUAAGUGGGUUUACAUUCUGCAAACGAUAAUGGACGAAUGGCUAUUGCUUCCUGGACACGAACGAAGGAACAUGUUUGAAGCAAUUUACUUAUCUCUCUUGAAUCCUUCUCGAUAGAUGCAGGUAUUCAAGAAUGUAUCUUGCAAAGAAGUACUUGUAUUUAUCCAUGAAAUUUUCAAAGCAAUCUUGUAAAUAAAAAAAGUAUAAAUGUUGGAGAAAUUUACUUUUCUUGAAUGAUAAGAGUACUCGAGAAUGGAUCAUAUACAGAAAAGAAACGUAUUUCCAUUAAUUUUUUUUUCAGAGGCAAUCGAUCAUUCUCAUUUCUUGAAAAGAUUUUCAACAGAGAAAAUAUUUAGGAGCGAGAAAUCGUUUUCCAUUUUUUUGUUUUUCCUCCAUUUUCCCGGGAACCAAACAAAAGAAGAAGGGUGGAUUACCUUGGAAAAGGAUAUGAGGGCAGACCAUUUGAUGACGAGGAAGAGCAAAAGGGCGACGAAAGUGAGGAGCGAUAUUGGACCACCAGCAGGAGUAUCUGGAACUGGUAGGUUUUGGAUGCACAGAAUCUUGGUGCACUCGGGGCCCACCAUCGUGGGGGCCGUCUUCUACCAAUCUCCCGUAGGGUCCGAAAUCGGGCAUGGGCUCCUCGUCCAUUUCAGUCUUCGUCUGCUAAACGGCGUCGUAUCAAUCUUCUGUUUUCGACUCGUUGGAAAGCUCCGUGGAAUGGUGGAAUGAAAUUUGGUUACUCCGUGGGCUCGUUCAUGGUGGGACCCACCUAUUUAUAAAUAAAUAAAUUAUGGUCGAUGCUAUUUUUGUAAUUUCCCAUCAUUAUUUCAAUUUUAUUCUUUCUUUUGGUUAUUUCUCUUUUAUAAAAAAAAUGCUAAAAAUUUAACAAGAUUUGGGCUGUUUGAUGUUGGAAAGAUGAGGAAAAAUAUAUCAAAAAGAAAAUAGAGGGAAUAAAGAGGAAAAAUAUAGAAUUAGAGGAUGUUCGUAUUGUAAUUUACUUUUGAGUUUUAUUCAUUUAUUUAUAAUUUAUUAUAAAUUUUUAAUUGAAUAGAAAAAAGUUAAAAUGUUUAAUUUUUUUCUAAAUAAAAAAUAAUAUAUUGACUUUUUUUUUUUUUUAAUGUUUAAUACAAAUAAAAUAUUAUAAAAGUAAAUAAUUUAAUGUUUUACGUUAUUAUUUAAUUUUAAAUUCUAUUUAAAAUUAAGUAAAAAAUUAAAUAAAAGACAUUUAAAUAGCAACUUUUCCAUGAAAAAAAUCCUUUCAUGUUGGUAAGAAAAAGUUUGAUCUAUAGAAAACAUCGGUGAAAGAUAAAAAAAAUUCCAAUAUGAAUGAAUAAUUAUUUUUAUUUUAUUUUUAAUUAAUUUAAUUCAAAAAUGAAAUUUUGAGUUGUAGAGAAUCUUAUUUACACGAAAGUUAUAGAAAUGUUGGAAAAUUUGUAUAUAUAUAUUACAAGAACAUGAAAUAGUACCCCCUGUUUCUAAUAACCUACGGUUCUCAGCGGCACGCAAGAGAAAAUGGUUUGUUUAGUUUUCAUUGUGGCAUUUCAUCGAACACCUUUUCUCUCACGAAUCGAAGCUUGGAAUUCACGGGUCAUUCACUUUCUUUUUGCAGUCGGUGACUCUGCAUACCAACCUCGGUGACAUCAAAUGCGAGAUCUCUUGCGACGAGGUCUCUAAAACGGCCGAGGUUAGCACUCGUUACCCCAGUAGACUCAAGCCUUUGGAAUGUGUGGUUAACUCUGUGUAAACUCGAAAAUCAUGUAUUGGUUGUGUUUGGGAACAUACCCAAAUUUAGUUUUGAUUUCAGUCGUGCCUUCUGUUGGUGGGCUUGAAUUGGAGUAGGGCUUUAAUGCAAGCGUGUUGAUGGAAGAGGAAUCUUUUUGCCUUGGCACACAUAUUGAAAGGGGCAGCAUCAUCGAUGAAAAGGAUCAAGCCUCCUACCCACAUGAUAAAAAUUUUACCCCUGUUUCUAGAUUAUAGCAGAGAAAAAUGUGAUUGAAACCCUUACAAGGAAAGAGAUUCGCAAAGGAAUAUUUUUGUAUGGCAAGCUUAGAUUGGACUAUAGAUCAAUUCACCACCGUAUAUAGAUUCAUAAACCAGUGCAAUAUCAGCUUUGUUUAGCCUGUGAGCUCUGUUUUGGUGUUUGAAUGAAAGUUGGAUUGAUGCAGCUUCCUAGAAGCAUAAAUUCUUCUAACCUCUAGUAGCCCCUUUUUUUUUAUAAUCCCAACUAUUCCUUUUAAUUUAUGAGUUAUUUCUGUUUCUUUGCUUGCCACCAAGGCACCAACACAAAUGAAAUUGGUUUUCUUAGCCACUGCCUAACCACGGAGAUGAAAUUAUACACAUAUAUUUUUUUUAUUUGUGCUGCUCGUGAACUAUGUUUACUGAAAUUGCUUACUGGUGUUUUCUAGUAUUGUGUUCUAAACUGGGUUUAUUUUUAGAAAUACACAUCGAUUUGACCAUCACUUUUGUUCAGGAAUGAGUAUUUAUGUUUAUGAUGCAUGUGACUGAUUGUUUUUAAUUAUAUUCUAUCAACUUUUGAAUGGAUUUUGGAGUAUUAGCCAAGAGGUUGUUAUUAUUGUAAUUUUUGUUAGAUUGUUAGAGUCUGUUCUUUUGAGCCUGUGUUGUUAUUGUUUUUGUGACAAUAUGCUGUGUUCUAAUAGUUUUGUGCUUUUAUUUGGAUAGAAUUUUUUGGCACUCUGUGCUAGUGGCUAUUAUGAUGGAACCAUAUUUCAUCGAAAUAUUAAAGGUUUUAUGAUCCAAGGUGGAGACCCAACAGGUACAGGCAAAGGGGGGACCAGCAUAUGGGGAAAGAAGUUCAAUGAUGAGAUACGAGAGUCUCUCAAGGUAAUUUAAUAUAAUGCAUGAAGAAUUCUCAGACUAUAAUUAUCUUCUUUUACUAAUCAGAAUGUGUGUAUAUAUAUAUAUAUAUGCCUUCCCAAGAAGGCAAAGGUGGGAAUAGUUUGAUCUACCAAUUGAAAUUUCAGGCUCAAGCUGGGCACAGGCCUCUUUCUAUGGUUGGGGUGUCCAUCCCCCUUCAUUUUCUCUUUUUUGCUGGCUGCAAAUUAGAACGGCCCGAAAAAUAAUUCUCCUAAAGUAGUCCGUGUAUACUAAGACUAUCAUGCUUCUAAGACUGUUUACAAAUUAUCAAAUCCAUAUUAUGCUGGGUGGAGCUUGAUUCUGCUUGGCUGAUCCACAGGCAUAGUUCUUGUUAUGUCUUAAAUGGCCAAAUUUUCAUAAUAUGCUCUAUUGGGUAAUUGUAGGCUAGAAACAUUUUAUUCUAAUCAUGAUACCAAUGGCUGCCCUUUUCUCCCUUCUUUUUUCCAGCACAAUGCAAGGGGAAUAUUAUCAAUGGCUAAUAGUGGCCCCAAUACUAAUGGAAGCCAGUUCUUCAUAACGUAUGCUAAGCAGCCACAUUUGAAUGGAUUGUACACUGUGUUUGGAAGAGUGAUUCAUGGAUUUGAAGUCCUUGAUAUCAUGGAGAAGGUACAUUUCUGUGCUCUUAAGGUCAAUUAUCCGUUUCUUUUGUGGUUGAGAAUCACUGUGCCUCUGUGUGUGUGUGGUUGAGGGGGGUGGGGUGAGAGGAAUAAUGGGUGACUUAAAGGAAACCAAGGGUGUAAAUUUGGUUUUCACACCUUGAAGAGUAGGAACUUGGUAUCUCUUUAUAUGGGAGCUGAUUGUGAAAAAAUCCCUUGUUUAUGGGUGGCUUCCAAAUGGGAUGAUGUUGGAUUUUUUUUUAAAUGAUGAGCGUGUUUUAGAUUGGUGGGCAGGAUAUUUUGAGGGGGGCAUAGUCGAUUAUAGCACCAGAAAAGAAGACAUAGAAUAGGUGCUUUCUCAAAUGCUGCCUAAAAUUUUCUGAAUGAGUUGAUUUCUGCAAAGCGUUCUUACCAUACAGGGCUCUAUGCAAGCUGCUCGUUUCUGUUGAACCUUUUUUUUUUUAAUCAAAUAUACUGUUAAAUAAUGUUUUUUGGUUUGUGCAGACUCAAACUGGAGCUGGGGAUCGGCCUCUUGCAGAGAUCAGGCUCAAUCGAGUGACAAUACAUGCUAAUCCACUUGCUGGCUAGGUUUAGUUCACUGCAUUUCUGGGUUGUAAGCAUGUGAACCAGGGUGGUCUCAGAACCUCUGUAUCUAUAAUCCAGUGAUUUUAGGACCAAACUCCUGGCUACAGGCUCUCUGUAAUUUUCCUUUUUCCUCUUUGAAAUAUGCAGCUGAAAACAUGAAAACCAAAAAAGAAAGAAGGAAAAUUAUAUUAUUGUGAUCACUAGCAGAAUUAUGUGUAUGGCAGCAGUUUUGUUUCUUACCAGGGAGAAUUUGAAGAAUGCAAAUGGUAAUUUCAACUGUGAAUUUUUUGCCACACAAGUGUGGGACAGUGGGACCCCUCCCCCCAAAACGUUGGUCCUGUUUUACUACCACACUCAAUAUUGAAUGGAUAAUUUUGGAAUUAUACUUGUGAUUUUCUUCCUGUGCCCAUUGAAAUAUAGAUCUUUUAAUUUUCCCCUCUGAUUGAAAAAUGACCUCAAUUUGGUUUCUCAUUUGCUAUGUGAAAUGACUAAUAAGGCCACCAUAUGGAAUUGGUCGUUUGCAAGAGACCAUUUUGGAACACAUGGAAUUGGAUACACUUCUCCGUGGUGUAGCAUGACCAACCGGUAGUGAUUUUGAAAUCCUUCUCCUUUUGCUUCUACGACGUCGUUUUCCUCAGCUUCGUCCUUCAACCAAUAUAUGCAUACAUAUAAACUGGUGGCAGUCCUAACGGCAACUCUUCAAAAUAACGUCUGGAAAUGCCUUCCCUUCUGCUGCAUCAUCUCCCGCCAACUCCACUUUCCACAACCAUCAAAAUCAGGUCUCAUCCAAAACCUUCAUCCCUCGUGCAAGGUAGCACCCGAACUCCCCUGUGUAUAACGUGCGCCCGAAGCCAAGAUGAUUACCACGCCACGCUCGAUGCUCUCAACUCCAAAGGCCGCACUCCCAGAAAAUCUCUCGGCCAGGUUCUUCCCUCUAUUCGUUAACUUUAUCAGAAAACGUUUUCAAGGAUUUGUUUUUCACUUGGACUCCACUGAGGCCUUUCAUCGAAUAGUUAACCGGCUUCUGGGAAACUUUUCCGUUACACAAGUACAGUGCUAUAAAUAGUGCCCACUAGUUGGGUUGUUGUUAUUGAAUUUUAGCUUGGUGUUCAUCGUAUGCAUUGUCUUCUUUCUUACGGUGCCGUGGUUUUGCAGCAUUACAUGUUGAAUUCUUCCAUAAAUGAGCAACUUGCUGACACUGCGGAUAUUAGGGAUGGUGAUGUGAUCCUUGAGAUUGGACCCGGAACUGGUUCUUUGACUAAUGUUCUUCUAGAUGCGGGUGCAACUGUUCUUGCAAUUGAGAAGGUUGGUUUCGACUGCAUUACCUGUACUCUGUUGAUUAAUCUGGAAAUAGUAUCAAAUCAUUGUCUCUAGAACGAGAAAUUGAUGAUCUUUUUCAGUAUAUGAUAUUGUGAGAGGCAUGUUAUCAUUUGUUGAUAAGCAGAGUACUUGAACGAACAGAGUCUCAAGUUUUCUUUCCUAGUUUUUCAUGCCAUUUCAGUACAAGGAAAAGUAACCAUUUCAUAGAUUGUUUAGUAUAUCAAGUCAUAAAUAAUCAGCUUAAUUUGACAGGGUUUUAACUUUUAAUUGUUCUUGAAUGUUUCUUUCAGAACAGCUAAAAGGUUUUUCCAUUAAUGCGGCAAUUAUGUGGAAUGAUUUGAUGCAGAAUCUGACAGCAUGUUCAUUUGGAACUGCAUUUAAUUCAACUCCUUAUGAAAAUAUCAUCUCUAAUUUAUUAUACAAAUGAAAUCUCAUAAUAUGUAGAGUUGUUUGAAUUUUGUGCCUUACAAGCAAGCAUGAAAGGUAACGAUAAUCAUUAUUUCCUGUGCUCCUUUUUUAUAUCUAGGACUAAUGUUAUGCUUAUCGUAUGAGCUGUAGGAUGCACACAUGGCCGCACUUGUGAGAGAAAGGUUUGCAGUUACAGACCGUCUCAAGGUAAGCUAUAUUUUGGCAAUAAAUCUCUUUAAAAUAAAACUUGUAUUUUGUGGCUAGUUUUUUGUUCUCAGAAAUUUUUGUUUGAUUUUUUUUUUUUUUUGAGUCUAAAAUUAUCUUCAUAGACUUCAUUUUUGGGAGAACUAUUCUUGCUUUUAAAAGAAAAUAUUGAUUUGCAAGAAGGGAACAAAAGCAGCAAACGCUUUGCUAUUGUAACUUCUGACAUGCUACUUAAACGAUAAAAGGACAGCAUCUCUAUCACCAGUUGUUUCUUAUAGGUUAACAUGUUAUUCUUUUUCAUCAUUGUUAUCUAUCCGGCACUGAUAUGCUUUCAUAUUAUGUAUUAUCUUGUAACCUUAAAUAAAUUUCCUUGGGCAAACUUACAUUGUUUGAUGGACUACUACCAUAGACAUAUAUAUUUGAUUUAUUUAUAUUAAAGCGUGUCGUCUUGUUCUUUUGACCAUUACAUUGUGAAUGAUGUCCUAAUUUCUGAUAUUUUCAAUUGGAACUGUAGGUUUUGCAAGAGGACUUCAUGAAAUGCCAUAUUCACCCUCAUUUGUUCUCAUUGUUGGAAAGCAAAAAAGCAAAGAACAAAGAAUCAAGAUAUGCAAAAGUGAGAACUCUACACCAUGUACUUAAGCUGUCUGAGUCAUUUGCAUUGUACUGUCCUCAUGAAUAUGAUCUCCAGCUGCCCACUGGAAUCAAUGCACUUUUCACAGUACAUAAAUUAAAAAGAUCUGUAGAAACUUGGCGAGAGUAGCCGUUACUGUGUCUGACAUGCAUCAGAUGCAUACACUACUCAGACACAAAAUAGAGAGAUAGGAAUUUGUUGUACAAACUGCACUACUUGACAUCUAUGAGAUCCUAUGUUUAAAUGUCCACGAAUUUGAAUACUGUUAAUGUGGUCAUACAUAUUGAAGUUUUAUGAUAUUUUCUUGAAUUGAUUGGGUACUGCCUCAGAUGUACUUUUAAUGACUACAUAAGCAUUGGUAUGUAAUUAUAUGGUAAUAAAUUCAUUAGGAAUUUGUAUCUUUGAUGAAUGUUGUCUCCUCCUCUCCCCAUGGUCAUAAUAUCCUAAAAUGGUAGUAUGCAUUGCUUAUUUGCAGGUAGUCUCCAAUAUACCUUUUAAUAUAAGCACGGAUGUAGUAAAAAUACUUCUUCCCAUGGGGGACAUCUUUUCAGAGGUUGUUCUCUUACUUCAGGUUGGUAAUGUUGCCUCACUGAUGUUGACUUUCUAAUUUCUACAUGUUUUACCCAUGUAAUUGCUACUAAUUUAUUUCUUUGUUAACAUUGUUCAGUAUCAAAUUUUAGUGUCCUACCAAAAGUCAAUAUGAUUUUUGUCUUUCUGUGGUUGAUGAUUUUAAGAUUGGCAAUAUGUAACAUCUUCAAGGAUUUUAAGAAUCCUCACACUAGAGCCAUCAAAUAAAAAAAAGUACCUCCAUUGGACAAAGACACACAGGAAUGUAAGCAAGUGAAGUACAUUGAAUCCUAAUCUUACAUAAGUUAGCUUCAACAAAUACAAUGAAUCCUAAUUCUAUAUAAGUUUGUUUCAACAUUUUCAGAAUGAGGCCUUCAAAUGCUUUCACAUCUUUUCUGGAUGAAUAAGACUUAAAUUUCAAGAUAUGAUUUGCUUUAUUUGUCGCUUAUUGUUCAGAUAAAUAAAUUUGCAGAUGCUGGUAGAUCUCAGAAUAUUUGUACCAUGAAACCCCUCUUAAUGUUUCAGUUUCAUGCAUAUGUCACUUGUUGUAAUUUAGCCCAGUAUUAAAGACUUAAAAGUUAAAACUACAAAUGAUCAUAGUUCCUGAAAUACUUGUUUCAUCAAACAGACCGCUGUAUGAUAAUGAAUCUCUGCCAAAUGUCAUUUAAUUGUUUUUUGUUUUUUGGGGUGUCAUUAUAAUGAAGAAAUAUUUUUACAGGAUGAGACAGCUUUGCGGUUGGUCGAAGCAUCUUUGCGGACACAAGAGUACCGUCCCAUAAAUAUUUUUGUUAAUUUUUAUUCAGGUGAGGGUUUCUUAGAAACAUAAAUUUCCAUAUCAGUGUAGAAAUAUGUAUUCUGCAAAUACACCGCAUUUUUGGUGACUAGUCCUUUUUGGAUUUUAUUGAUAGCUUGAGUAGGCUUCAGGGCUUGUUGGGGGAUUAUUAGUUUGUUUUGUUCCUUGGUUUUUUGGGUCUAUUGUGCUUCUUGUAUACUUCCCCAAUACCAAGGUUCUCCCCCUCUUUGUGCUAGGUGCCUGUUAAUAUUAUCUUAUUCUCCUAUAAAGAUUUUAAGCCAUGUGGUGAAUUACAGAAAAGGCCCAACCUAGGUUCUGAUUAAUCACAGUGCCUAUGUACAUUAUUCUUGUGUUUUAUAUUUUUGCAGCUUAUGGUGUCAAGUUCUUUAGAUGUGCUUUUAUUUUUAAUUUGGUACUAAUCCCAUAAUAUAUGUCACAGUUGCAGUCAAACUUCUUUAUGACUGGUUUCUCAGUUUGUGAUUUUCCUUUUCAGAUCCUGAAUACAAAUUUAAGGUCCCUAGGACAAAUUUUUUCCCCCAACCUAAUGUAAGUGAUUGAUUUUUACACUUAGACAUGGGCUUUGCAGUAUUGAAUUUGCAUUUUGCUAUUGACUUCACACGAGCUUUCUAUUUUUACAAUGAAAUGAAGAUGGCAAUUGUGAUAGUGAACUUUCUUUUCAUGCAUAAUUUGGCGUUAAAAACUCUGUACUAAGAGACUAGAAUGGCAUCCAUGUUCUACUCAAAGACAAAUAUAAAGCUUUCUUCCAAUGCUCAAAGGAAUGGAGAUGGAGCUAAUCCUUUAUAUGCUUCUGUAGGUUGAUGCAGCUGUUGUUGUAUUCAAGCUGAAGCAAGCGGUGGACUAUCCACCGGUUUCCUCCAUUAAAAGUUUCUUCUCACUGGUAGUUGAGAUUUCUAAUGCUUGCUUUACUAUACCUUGUCCAGACUGUUAUCAUUUUUUAUUGGAAAUUUAUGUUUUCUACAUAGCUUCUUGCUUGUGUAAAUAUGACGCAUUUGUGCAUUGUGUCUUAAGAGAGAAUCCCACCUUUCAAUGUAAAUUCAUUUAACUGCAUUAGUUUUUUUUCAUGAAAGAAUGCUGCAAAGCAGAAUCUCCAUUACAUUGAUUCUGAAUCAAUUUUUUUUUUUUUUUUAUCCUUUCAUUUUUGCUUCUUUUUUUCACCUGUAACAAGCCUUGGCCAAUGGAUUCAGGUUAAUUCAGCAUUCAAUGGAAAACGAAAGAUGUUGCGGAGAUCACUUCAGCACAUAUGCACAUCCAUUGAGAUUGAAGAGGCUCUCAGAAAUGUUGGCCUUCCAGCUACAGUAAGUAUGCAUAUCCAAUUAUUUGGUACUCCAUUGCCGUAUUUCCUGGGUUUUACCAACUCUUGUUGAUCUCAUGCAGUCUAGACCCGAAGAGCUUACCUUAGAUGAUUUCGUGAGGUUGCAUAAUUUAAUUGUAAAAACCUAGUCCUUCCAACCUCCUCCUCAGAAGGCCAACUUCAUGCUUACUCCCAGAACACCAUCUCAGUCCCUGAUCUUCAUCACUUAUGAUUCAGACCAGGAACUCAACAAAGAAAAGAAAUCCUACAAUCUCCAGAUGGGAAAAACCCCAAGUGAAGUGAAUUAUCCUCUGGAAGCAGAAACAACAUUUGGGGUGUCACUGCCAUGUUCAACCAGUUGGAAUGACUAAAGAAACUAUUAAGGAUAAGUUAUUGUAAUAUUAAUUACAGACUGGAAUCAACCCAAUUUGGGUUAAUGAAUUCAUUGAUGUUCUUAUUCAAUCCAGGUAUUCUACAACCAACAAAACACAGCUUGAACUCAAUUAUUUCAAUAAUCAUUCUCAAUUCGUUUGUACUAACAAUGUAAGUAUCAAAAACUCCCCUGUUUUGCUCUGUUUUUGUCCUCUGUUUUCAUUCUCUCAAGUCUCAACCGUGAAACUGAUACACAAGAUCCAGAGCCUUCAACCUUGAUUCCCUGGCGUCGAACCCGGCAACCUCUGCCGCAUACUUCCUGGGCUCUGCCACAGAUGAUGGCGACAGCGGUCUCUUCCGUCUCUUGUUUUGAAUAUAACAAUCCCUCAUUCGCUCCUCAACUUUGUCAAUUGGGUCCUUUGAAGUCACCUCUGUUUCGUCUUCCCAUUCAUCACCCACCUGCAUCGGCUCCGGCGGCGGCGGCGGCGGUGGCUGGGAGGGGAGGGAGAGGAAGGAGGAAAGGCGUUGGUGGGCGUGGUGGAGGGAGGAGUAGAUGUGAUGGAGGUGGGUGGGGUCUGCGGUGGUGGGGAGUUGCUUUGCCAUUAGGGUUGCUUGCUCUAGUGCUUGUACAAGCUCUGUUAAUGGCUCAGCCUCGGCCAUUAUUUCUCUUUCUCUCUCUCUCUCUCCCUCCCUCCCUACAAAGCAUAUGUAUGUGUAAAAACCCUUUGGUUUCUCUCUCUCUAGAAUCUUUGUAUCUGUUUCUAGGUUUUCUGAUACUAGGCAGAGUAGCUGAAUUGGCAGCGGCUACCCCUACAUGGUCACCCUCAUGUGGGCCUGGUCCCUUCUUUUUCCAUUUUUAUUUUCUCGGGAAAAUGGCAAGGAAAGUUAUAUCCAUAGUACUUCUACUUCAAUGGUGUUUGUUGCCCAUUACAUAAAAAACAUCUUCCAAAUAUCUUGGGGAUAAUAAAUCCUGAGACAAUUCCAUUUUUUCUAUCCUAAUUUUACCCAAUAAUUUAGAUUUUAUCAUUCUUUUUUUCGGGUGCCUUAAACUUUUCCUUCAAUUAUUUUAAGUCAAAUUUCUGGAAAAAUAUUUAUAAAAAAAAAAAAAAGAAACCCAAAUCUUGGAAUGAAAAUAGUCAUGAAGGUGCAACCAAAAAAAUGAAAAUUGCCAUGAUAGCAGAAUUUACAGAGCUUGUAGAAGCAGCAAAGUGUAUAAAUUCGAAGGAAAAGAAUACAGGCGAGAAGCAGAGAGAUGAAUUAGGAGGGGAGAAGAGGUAAGAGGCUUAGAUGUUGAAGAUCCGGAGAUAAUCAUCAAUUAUGGACAUGGCAGAAGACCUGUAGCCUGAUCCAAAUAGAUUAUAAUGGUUCAAGUAAUGAUACAACAUGUACACAUCUCUCCUCUUCUCGAACCCUGCUUGUUUUGGCAUCACCUACAUUAUAAAAUUUCAUAACAAAUUACUCCCAAAAGAAACCAUCUAACAAUCCCACAAUCGACAGGUUGGUUUGGAGUUUGGAUUAGCAAUAGAUGACUUUCUUUUCAUCUUUCUAACUUAUGAUUGUUUAGAUAUCAUGACCAUACCUCAAAAUAAGCAUUGUAGAAAGAUCCUCCAAAGCCAGCACACCAUGACAUUCCGAAUUCUGCCUCAUUAUGUCCAUCUAAUUCAAGAAAAGGGCAACGGAAAAUCAGCACACAACUAUGAAAAUUGCAACAUUUUUCUCUCCGAUUUCGUCAUGUUGAAUUUUUCCAUCAAUAUUUCCAUCAUCAAGUUCUGGGUUAUGCAUAGGAGUGGUAAUUCAAAUUGGUUGGUCUGUCAGUCGUAUGACUCACUUGAUCUAUUUUUUCAAGAUCAAAUUUUAAAUAAGUCGUUGGUCUGUCAGUCGUAUGACUCACUUGAUCUAUUUUUUCAAGAUCAAAUUUUAAAUAAGUCGAAUGCGAGUUAAAUAGGUUAUGACUAUAAUAAUCAUCAUGAUUAUUAAGUAGGUUAAUUUAGGUCAAAUUCGUGUUAUGCACCCAAAACUAACUUUUUAUCAAACGGGUUAUGCAGGUUGAUACAAAUUUAACCUAAACACGAUACUACGAAAAAUGUAUCAAGGUCGAGUUAUGUUGGUGAAUCGUAUCAAGCUUUGCCACCUUUAGCCAUGCAGUUGCUAACUUAACAUGGAUGAACUUAAUAGCUAAAAGAAAAUUUGAGUAUUCUAAAUAUAAAUCAUCUGGGCACAAAAUGAUAGAGCAAAUCCCAACCAACUUGGACUUACAGUAACAUGCUGGGUCAAGUAUAACAGGCUCUCCAUUCUUGUCAGAGCUGAUAUUACCACUCCAUAAGUCUCCAUGAAGCAAGCAAGGUUCUAUCUCCACAUUUUCAAAAAGCCGCCCCAGAUUCUUCAUCAGUUUUUCUCCUGUUGAGCAAAGCGAUCCAGGGAUCAAAUACGGUGCCUAGUUAAUAAAUUUAAAUACAAAUCCUUAAUUUGUAUUUUAAAAAUCACAUAACCAUUGCAUUCAGACAUAAUAUCUUAAUAUUACUGAUAGCUUAUUAGGAAGAUGCCCUUUUAAUUAAAUAGCCCAAAAAAGUCGGUCUCGUGACUAUUUUAGACUCCUCAUGAUUAACACUUAAUAGUCCAUAUGAUUCCAAGAAGGCAGACAAAAAGAGAAGUAAAAUGGAAUCCUACAAACAUUUGGUUUUGGUAUGCACUUCUCUUAAUAAGAGUUCUACAAAACGAUAAAAGCAAAGACGAGAGGUAGUCAUUUUAUAGAUUUAUCAAUCAGGCAAUGAAGCAUGUAAUGCUCCUUUCAGUCACUAUGCCAAUCAAAAUGAGAAUUGUGCCUUGAUCAAGUACAUAUGCAGAACUCCAAACACGAAAUCUAGUUUGAUAUUAUUCAUUUAUAACAAAAACAUUUUCCAGGUCAAUUUAAUCAGUUUGAUAAUUUUUGUAGAAUAAGAUGAAAGAAGAAGGAAAACCAUGAGCUAAAUGAUUUGAAAAUAAAAUUAUUAUUAAAAAGACGAACCUUUUGCAUAGAUGGUCGAAUCUCCAUACUGGUCUAAUGCCAAUUUCAGCUGAUAACCCAAUCUAUGCUCUGCAUAAAACUUGACCCAAUCUGAUGUCCAAGUGUUUAUCUGAGGAGUGCUGCAAAGCAAGACAUAAAGAAAAUUUUCUCAAUGAACUUACUGCCUUUCCACAGAGACAAAGAGUGGGAUGACGACAACGAUGAUUUAAAGAUGAUACCUGCCUAUGGUAUUAUCAACAUCAAACCCAAAUCCUUUUUCAGAUUUUCCAGCUUUAUGCAUUUCAGCAAGCUUCCUCCCUAAAACAGCCUGAUAACCAAUAACAGUUAUAGCAAAUUGUUAUCACCAUAAUAAUGUCAAGAAAAUUUGUCGAACCUCACCUGAUCGCCUCUAGAUCUACCAAAUUCAAUAAAUUCCAUAAUGAUGUAAGAGCCACCGGUUGGUAGUGGUCCAACCUGCAAGGAGUAGCAACUAGUCCACUUACAUUUUUCUGUCAGCUAUGUAGAUAUAUCAGGAUGAAUAGAUCUAGUGACCCCCAAACUUCUCACCUUAAAUGGCCUUGGUACACGGAUUGAUUUGGUCUCAUACAUAGCACCAAGACCAAGAGCCUCCCCCUCAAACAUUGAUGGCCCGAUACUCCUGUGGUUCAAUGGUAUGAAAUCUCAAAUCAGUUAAAAUAGCACUUGUACCAGUAAAUCCCCAGAAAGCAGAACGGACUUUUGUACGUGUUAGGAUAACCAAAUACCUGUUUGUUUUAACGAAGAAAGAACCAGCAUCAGUGUCAUAACGACUAGCAAGAUUAAUGCAACCACCACCAACAGGACUAAUCCUUGUAAUCUGAGUUGCCUUUCCUUCUGAUAGAAUCCAUUCACGGAUUGGAUCUUCACCCAAUGCUGCCACUGCCAAUAUACCAAAAUUAUAUAAAUAUAUUGACAAAAUUCAAAUAGAAGUUCCUUCAAUCAAAAUGUAAAGCACAAAAAUACAGCUAAAAACCCAUAUGAUGAACAAAAUCUAGGUAUCAAAAUUCCUGAAACCUGACAGAUCAGCUUAAUUCCAGUUCAACUUCAUGAGAGUCCCAACAGGAGUUUCUAGAACAGAAUGCAAAGCUCACUAACCAAAUUAAUGACUCGACAUUGCCUAACAGCCAUGAACCAGGUCCCACCAUCAAUCAGUAAAUGGAAAGAUUCAAAAAGCUCAUUCAAGCACUGGAUCAAUGAUGAGUAAUUGAACCUACUAAAGCUCAAAUUAAGCUACUAUAGAAAGUGAUUUCUAAGGGAUAGACAUCACAAAAGUGCACAAUGCCAUCAAAUAAAAAAAGGGUAACCUCUCAUGUCAUCAUGCUCCCUUAUGGUUCAAUCUAAGUUACAAAAGAGUGAUUUCACAUGCCCUAUAAAAAGAGAACAUCAAAUUGGACAAUGGAUAAUUUCCUCCAUAACAGCUCAAACCCUAUAAAAUAAUGAACCCACAUGCAGCUUGACAUCAGAGAGGCUCAUAAGAAUAUCAAACAAAAGGGGGCAAUCUUUUCAACCCAUGAUUAGGUUCCAUUACAGCUGAACCAAGAUAUAAAGGAGUGAUUACACAUACAAAUAGACAUCAAAGAAGCUAAGAAAAACAUCUGAUGGGGUAAUCCCCUAAACCCCUUUAUCACUCAUACCACAUCUAAAUUCAGUGUCUGAAAACCUCAAUUCAAGGAACUGCGAAUAUCCAUCAUAUACUCACUGACAAACGGCUUGGUUUUGGGGAAGGACAAUGAAGGAAACCAAGGCAGAGAAGGGAAGCAACAGCCGGAGGAGACGAGACCCACGUGUGCAGCCACCAUUAUCCUUCUCCACCUUUUCUUUGCCCCCCACAGAGACCACACCGCCUCCCUGGCUCGCCUCUGUCGUGGCGACUAUCUACUGGUUUCCAUUUCUUUACCCAACAUUCUCUUUUUUCCUCAUUUGAUUCCAAAGCUAAAAAUUAUUUUAAAAUUUUAAGAAAAUAAAUAAUUUAAAAAAUAAAAUAAAUUCAUAUUUUGGUGCAUAAAAAUAAUUAUUAAUGUUUUUCUAAUUUGAAUUUGGGAGAAUUACCCUUAAGGGUAGGCUGGAGGAAAAAAUGACCAGGGUGGGUAAAUUUGAUAAUUAUUGUAAAGGGUAAGGUAAAAUUAUGAUAAUUCCUCCAAAUGCCUUAUUUUGUUUAAAUGUCAAUACUACCCUUAAUAAGUGAAAAGCAACAGAAAAUAAAAAAGAGUUUAUUCUCCAUUUCUUUAACCUACCUGGAGCCGAGUUGUAGAAGAAAAAGAGGAAAGGAAAAAGGUGCGCACUUCAGGUCAUUCUCUGCAACCGAUACACAAAACUUGUUUUUUUUUUUGUGAAUCUAGCAAGAAAUCCAUUAAAGGUCAGUUUUUUUUUUUUUAAUACAAAAAAAAACGUCAGUUUAUGGAAAAAUAAAUAAAUAAUUUAAAAAUCGGAUUGAAUGAAGGAAAAGUUAAUAAUUUUAACAAUGUAGUUGUAAGAUAUUAGAUCUGAAAUAUUGAAUGAGGUUUUGAGAAAGAAAUUACAUUUUUUUUUAAAUGUUUUUUAAAUUUAUUAUUUUGAAUUUUUUUAUAUUAUUUAGGUCAUAUUGAAGAUGUGUUUUUAUUUUUAAUUUAUUUUCUGGGUGGGUUGUUUGAUAUGAUUAUUAUUGAUUUCCAUUGAAAAGGUUUGCAUUUUAGUUUUGUUGUUAAGACUUUUUGACAUGAUUGAAGAAAAAAUGUUCUCAGUUGUUUCAUGCUUGUUUGGGACCACUUUGUUUGUGUAUUUAUAAACAUAUUUAGAUUGUCAUUGAAAACUGAAAUCCCCUUUGUACGAGACCACUUUGUCUUUUAUUAUGAAUUUGUUAAAGAGUUAAGAUCACUAUAUUUUUGUUAUAAAUUUGUUACCUUUUUGUAUAAGUAUUAUUUUGGUAUGAUGAGUCGAAUGCCUAGUAAUUUGAAGGUUGUGUAAAAAAACCAUUAUUUCAGUUAUAAAGUAUAAGUACAAUACAAAUGCAAUAUAGUUACAAUGAAAAAAUAUUAACAUUAUGAUACAUUACAAUAUACCAAAAUGACAAAAUAUUGAAUUAUUUUUUACUGAAUUGGCAUUUCUAGGCUAUCAUGUUGUAUUCCUAUCAUAAAGCAUCCUUGCAAGCCAAAAUUAUAAAAAAAAACAACAACAAAAAUACACUAUUGUAAUUUCAAUACAUGAAGUUGUUGAUGAUAAUCCAAUGAUGGAUAAAAAAAAAUCUAUAAAAUUAAAUUUUUUUAUAUAAAAAUAUAGAGGUAUAAUAAAAAUACAGUACAAUUACAAUACAAAUACAAUAACAUUACAAUACAUUACGAUAAGGUAAAAUUUUGAAAAUGUCAAAUUUCUUAUGAAACUGGGCAAUUAUGGGUUCUUUGGCAUCCCUAACAUGUAUAAUAUACAACAAAUAUUGUUAUUUAUUAUAUAAAAUAUGUCUCAAUUGAUUAUAAUUUUCAUUUGUUUAUUUUGUAUUCGUUGUAAAAUUUUCAUUGAUUGUAAUAUUGUGAAAUAGUUGUUGAUGAUAAUCCAAUGAUGGAUAAAAAAAAUCUAUAAAAUUAAUUUUUUUAUAUAAAAAUAUAGAGGUAUAAUAAAAAUACAGUACAAUUACAAUACAAAUACAAUAACAUUGCGAUACAUUACGAUAAGGUAAAAUUUUGAAAAUGUCAAAUUUCUUAUGAAACUGGGCAAUUAUGGGUUCUUUGGUAUAUCCCUAACAUGUAUAAUAUACAACAAAUAUUGUUAUUUAUUAUAUAAAAUAUGUCUCUCAAUUGAUUAUAAUUUUCAUUUGUUUAUUUUGUAUUCGUUGUAAAAUUUUCAUUGAUUGUAAUAUUGUGAAAUAGUUGUUGAUGAUAAUCCAAUGAUGGAUAAAAAAAAAAAAUCUAUAAAAUUAAUUUUUUUAUAUAAAAAUAUAGAGGUAUAAUAAAAAUACAUUACAAUUACAAUACAAAUACAAUAACAUUACGAUACAUUACGAUAAGGUAAAAUUUUGAAAAUGUCAAAUUUCUUAUGAAACUAGGCAAUUAUGGGUUCUUUGGCAUAUCCCUAACAUGUAUAAUAUACAACAAAUAUUGUUAUUUAUUAUAUAAAAUAUGUCUCUCAAUUGAUUAUAAUUUUCAUUUGUUUAUUUUGUAUUCGUUGUAAAAUUUUCAUUGAUUGUAAUAUUGUGAAAUAGAUUGAUUUGAUUGUCGAUGAAAGAAGACGUACUUCUGAAUUGGUAAAUGGACUUGGAAAAUUCCAUUUAUGGCUACCUUCAUGAAGGAGGGGAGAUUGUACCUAAGGAGGAUAAACAAAUACAAUACAAGGGUGGACAACAAAAAGGCAUGUACAUUGGACAAAGGAUGUCAUAUGCUGAAUUUGUUUCAAAGGCAUGUGAACGGUUGGAUAUUAAUUCAAAUGGAUAUACAUUUCAUUACACCCUUGAGUUUGAUCCAUCUGCACUUCAACAGUUGGAUGAUGAUGAGGACAUGCAUAUGAUGUUAUCCCAUAGUUAUGAUUAUGCUCGUAUUUAUGUAUUAAAACGGACUCGAAGAGUAGAAGUUGAAGGAGGUAUAGUCAAUGUGCAAAAUGAUUAUUGGUAAGUGAUAUAUCUUGUAUUAGUUGUCAUUAAUUCCAUGAUGCAAAGUGCUUUUAAUAUUAAUUAACUGAGUGUGCUAUAAUAUGCAGUCACAAUAGUACGGAGGAAAUACACAAUUCAGUUGCAUCAUGUCAAGUAAACAAUGAGUCUAAUUUAGGACUUUCUCAAGGCUUCAUGUCCAGAUGUGCAGAAACUGAAGUUAUACCACAUGAUUUAAGUCUUUGUCCUCAACCUAUUAUUGGGAGUGGGCAUAGUUUUCCUAAUGCAGAUGAAUUUAGAAAUGCAUUAUAUACGAUGUCAUUAGUUGGUAGAUUUCAAUACAAAUUCAAAAAGAACUCUCCAAAGCGAAUAUAUGUGUGUUGUUUAGUGGAUGGGUGCCCUUGGAGAAUAACUGCUAAUUCAGUAGGCACAACCAAAAUUUUGAAGGUUAACAUCUUCAUUGAUGUACACAAUCAUUGUGCAAAUGUUGAGUGUUCAAGCCAACCUUCAAUGCGGGGAAGGAGAGGUGCUCGUGUCAUAGAGCAAGUAAUAAGGGCAACCCCUCAGUAUUUGCCCCGUCAAAUUUGCAAAGACUUCAGGAGUCGGUAUGGUGUUUCAUUGAGUUAUAAGCAAGCUUGGACAUACAAAGAAAUGGCAAAAGAGAGAAUAUAUGGUCUUCCAGAAAACUCAUAUAUGUUGUUGCCAUGGUUAUGUCAGAGAUUGGUAGACAUUAAUCCAGGGACGAUUGCUGAAUAUAGCACACAAGAUGGGCAUUUUUGGCAAUUGUUCAUUGCACAUUCUUUUUCAAUUCAAGGGUUUUUAAUGGGUUGUCGACCUGUUAUUGCAAUUGACUCAACUCAUUUGAGUGGACCGUAUAGGGGCUCUUUAUUUUCUACAACAGCUUAUGAUGCUGAUGAUGGCAUGUUCCCAAUUGCAUUUGGUGUUGUAAGUUCAGAAAACUAUGAGGAUUGGCUAUGGUUUUUGCAGAAAUUGAAGGGCAUACUUCAAGAUAAAGAGGUAGUCAUAAUAUCAGAUAGGCAUCAAGCAAUCCUUCGUAGUGUUUCUCAACUUUUUGGAGUAGAAAAUCAUGCAUAUUGUUAUCGUCAUGUGAAAGAAAAUUUUAGUAGCUAUGUGACGAAACAUAGUAUGAAGGGAAAAAAAUGUAAAAUGGAUGCAUUUUUGCUACUUGAUAAUGUUGCGUAUGCUAGGUUGGAUGAUGAUUAUGUUGUAGCCAUGGAAAAAUUAAAGACAUAUAACAGUGACCUAGCGAAGUGGGUUGAAGAGAACAGUCCACAACAUUGGGCAAUGUCAAAGUUUGCCAAAAAACGAUGGGAUAAGAUGACAACUAAUCUUGCUGAAUCAUUCAAUGCUUGGCUGAAGGAGGAACGUCAUUACACAAUUUUCAACUUAGUAAUGACACAUAUGGAUAAGUUUGCUCAUCUAGCAUGUGAUCAUAUGGGUUCUAUAGAAAAUUGGAAAGCUGCAAUUGGCCCAAAGACCGAGGAAAAGUUGUUGGAAAACAUUAUAAAGAGUGGGUCAUUGCCUGUAUAUCCCUAUGUUGGUGGUGUGUUUAAGGUAUUCAAUAUGAAAGUAUAUGUAGACGUGAAUUUGAGAGAGCGUACAUGUACUUGUAAGGCUUGGCAAAUGGCCGGAAUACCUUGUGAGCAUGCAUGUGCAGCAAUACGCCAGAUGAAACAAGAUGUUUAUGAAUAUGUUGACUCAUAUUUCAAGCUUCCAAUGCAAGAGUUGAUAUAUUCUGGACACUUCAAUUCAAUUCCAAAUCACAACAUGCCUAUAGUUGAUGUUGAUGGAUGUGUUCGUGAUGCUCAAGGUCGCUUAUAUCCUUCACUUAAACCUCCAUGCUCAAAACGACCACCUGGAAGGCCUCGACACCGUCGAAUAGAGUCUCAAUUUAGUUCAAAAAGGCUUAUCUUCUGUUCACGAUGUCAAGUUGCAGGCCAUAAUCGAGCUUCAUGCAAAAAUCCAUUACCCGCUCCAUGAUUCUAGUGUUAUGCUUGUUUGGUGACAUGCUACUUUUUAUCUUAUUUUGAUUGUGAUGAUAUGUGUGGUUUAUGAAAUUAGAAUCUGUAAGAAUUUGUUUUGGAACUUACUUAUUUACUUGAUUGUCAUGACAAAGAUGUUUGUAUUACAUAUGCCACUAUUUUAGACUUAUGAUCUUAUCAUUAUUUAGGGUGGUUUGUAACCAUGUUUUUAAUGUUAUUUUGAAGAUCAUUAUUGACUUUGUACAUGUUCAUUACAUUUGUUUAACUUGUUUUCCAUUGAAAUACAGGUUACAUCAUGGCAUCUUCAAGUGCUUCAUUAACAGGUGUGGCUCCCAACUACAUCUAAAAAUUAAGAGAACCAUACUUCUUCACGAAUCAUUUGUACAGUAGGCACGCUCCUCCUUAGAAUUCCACCACCCUAAAUGAAAAGCAUAAAAACUGACGUUAGAUUAACUUGAACGGAAAUAUCUGAUUUGUUUAUGCAAUAAAACACAUUUACGAAUACAACAUUUUACCAUAAACAUGCAAGUCUUCUCUAAUUUUUUGUUUCAUAUUUGUUCCUUAUUAAGGUUCCAUUCUUCACCAAAAAGAUAAAAAAUGAUUAAGACAACAAACAAAGCAGAUGUACAUAAAGACACGUGUGUGCAUAUCACUGAAUGCACAUACUUGAAGAAUGCAACAUUGCAAACACAUAUCAGCACAACUAGUUGCUCUCAAGAGGCUUUAUGCCAUUGUGUAAGAUUCUGGUGCAGAUAUCAGCCAAGUUACACCCCUCAAUAGGCUUUGAGAAAAGCCUUGUUAUUUUUAUUUUCAUGUUCCCAGGGCAGCUUUUCCAUUUAUGAAUGGGGUUCCAUCACAUGUGAUUUUUCUUCAUGAGGAGCUUCUAGGCCGUCAGUUAAGAAGUGAUCCUUACUUCAUUCUUGCUUAAAUAGUAGGCAGUCAUAUUUUGAGUUAGAAUUUUAAUAUUUUUUCUCAAAGAACCUUGCCACUGACAAGAAUAGGGCAACAAAUUCUAAUCACUAAAAUUUGCACACAAAAAGGUCCUUUGGUCAAACUAAGCCUUGCCCUAGGUAGUAGAUUGGUGCAACCAAAGCAAGUAACAAUAAAAUAAAAAGGUAUGAUCUCUCAGAUAUUUUAUGUUGAUAGAGAAAUACCAUCCAAAAAUUACAUGUAGCAUAAAAUGAAGUUGCAGAACCUACCAGACCAUACUGAAAAAUCCGUUUCAAUGCUUCUUCCAGAUGUUGUUCAUCCCCAUAACGAUAUCUUAUAACAUCAUUCCUGACCUAGUUAAAGUAACCAAAGUAAUAAAAAAAUUGUUCAUAAAACAAUAAAGUAUAUUGUUCACACAUUGAAAUAAUUGAGGCAAAAAUCAGCUACAUAAGAAUAUGCAUUUACAUGUAGAUAAUAUUGACAAGAAUAUUGUCCAUCUCAUGAGGGCAGUCAGUACACAAUGGAUCUAUUUAAGCUGGAUCAUAUAACAAAACAUCUUAUGUUCAUCCUCUAGUAACUCUAUAUACAGAUUAAAACUGCAGCAGCACAUAUACCAUACAAUAAUUACUGGCAGUGGGGCUUCUCCACUUGCCAUGCAGUGUUAUCAGGAUAAUAAGGAAUUUCUUAGCCCUGUAUAACCUGCAAGAACUUACUCCAUAGUUUCCAUUAGUCAACCCAAAAAGGGUUUCACAUAUUACAUGCCUAAACUGGAAUAUAAUUUAAAUAUUAGUGAUAUCAUAGCUAAUAUAACAGGGAAGGUAAUUGUAAAAGUUAUUCUGAAACAUUCUCUACCCCAAAAUAACCUAAUCAUAUCUCCUAGAUUUUACAAGGAUAAGGUGUACCACAGUUCACUAUGUUACAUGACCACUCUCCUCAACAAGCAGUGGCCUAAUUUGAGAGACUACAGAAUCAGGGGUACUGCAAGGCCUUUCAUUGUCAGUUGGUGAGGACCAAGAACCCUUUAUUGCCAGUUCACCCUUUUCCUUUUUUCUUUUCAUUUUUGUUAUUUUAGUAACCUGUCACAGAACCUCAAUAUAUGAAAUAUUGACAAAUUUGCAUAUUGAAUAAUGCUCAAAAAGGGUUUGUGAAAAAAAUUGAUGAGACAGGGCUUUGUUAAGCCAAGUCAAGUUGUACAUAUUUUAUACAUCUCCACUUUUGCCUUCUGUAUUACAAAAUAUAAUAUGGUCAGCCCAACAACUGAAUUUUUCAUCAGUUUCCUUGAGUAGAUACCAUGAAACAAAGGGGUAGCAUAUAGAAAUUAUCAUCAUAUUUAUAAAAACAAUACUAGCGAAGAUUGCUAAAUGAAAGUGCAAGGAUAUUCUUGAUGACAAAAGAAAAUAAAAAAGGGACUGAUGUGCAGUUCUUAAAGAAUAAAAAUUUCAUUCCAUGCAUAGAGAUCCAAUCCUGCUAAGAUGCUAUCAAAUGUUCUUGGCUUGAAAGAGCACUUAAAUAGAAGGAGUUUAAUACAAAAGGAAUGACCCCAAAAUGUUUUAAAAAGAAUAGUUCUCGAGAGAAAAAAACAAAAUUUUAUGAGAUUCUGUAAUGAAAGAAAACUUACCAGGAGACUUUGUAAUAAAAAGAAUCUAUAAUAGAUAAAAAUUUCUUCAAACACAUGAAAAUUCAACCCUUUCUAGGAUGAUGUCAAAUUUUCUUGGGUCAAAAAAGAGGAUUAGAGGAUUUAUGCUGAAGGAGUUCACUUACCAAAAGCAACCAACAGAAUGAUUACAUAAAUCAGUUUCAUAAGAGAAGAUAUCUGAGAUUUUAUACAGUGAAAGGAGUUUUCAAGGGAAACAACCAGUUGAUUUAAAAGUAAAUAAAUUUCAUGAAUGAAAUUACUAUCUGAGAUUUUCAAUGAGAGAAAAUGAGUCAAUUCCAAGAACAUUACCUGUCUAAGAAUUGGGGUGGCACUUGUUUCUCUUAACUUUUGAGCAUCUGAGUAAGUCAAGCAUGGAACUAGUUUCAGUUCUGCAUACUGCAAAACAGUAAAAGGGCUAUGCCAUCAUGCAUGUGGAAAAAAAAAAAAGCAUAAUUUGAUUUCCAUCACCAUUAAACUAAAGAACUCAGUGGUGUACCACUUUUACGACAGAAGAUCUAACACCAACCUGGAAAGGAAAGCCAGUGAACUACAUGGAAUGCAGGCCAAAUGGGAAAACAAAAAGAAGAAAAAAGUUAAGUCUCCAAAUGGAGAAAAUAGCUUAAACAGCAUGACAGGUGGUUAGAUCAACGCAACUGGUGAAAAUUGAGAUUUUAAAAAUACAAUAUGUCAUCUGGUUGGAAUAAUAAAUUCAAUGCAAAUGAAGAAAAUGCAUCUCAUGAGGAUAAUGGAUCCAGUUGGAGCAAAAAAUGGGGUGGUGGUAAAGCGACUAGUGAAAGUGGGGAAAAACAUAGCAAAUCCAGUGAUUGGAGUAAUCCAAAUGCUUCCAACAAGGAUAUGUCAUCUGGUUGGAAUAAUAAAUUCAAUGCAAAUGAAGAAACUGGUGGGACUGGAGAUCAUGAUGGUGGUUGGAAUAAAAGAAAAGCUCCUGGUGAACAUCAAAAAACACCAUGGAAAACUAAUGAGAGUAAUUUGGAUGGAAACCCCUCCUCUGGUUUUCAGGGCCAAGAUGGUUGGGGUACUCCAAAACCUCCACAAGAUAAAUCCUCUAGUUGGAAUCAUAAAUCCAUUGAUAAUGAAAAAGAUGGUGAUGGUAAAGAUCAAGGAGAUAGCAAUGCUCCCUAGAGGGAAGAUAACAAAAGAAAGUUUGAAGCGCUGCCCCAUUGUGUAUUUUGUGGACUUUGUGGAAAGAGAAAAACUGAAGAGCAUUUGAAAAUACAAAACAAUUGGUUCACUUUUUGAAGAGUUCAUUUGUGAUUAAUCUAUUGUCUUGGGGUUAGGAUGUACAUAGCAUAAGGAAUUCUGUCCUCAUUCGAGUUUGUAGAUUGGCUAGGUCUAAUUAAGGGAGGGAGCAUUAUUUUCCCUUGUUUUGGCUAUGCCUUUUGCUUUGUGUAUAGCCCUUUUCAUUAAUAAAUUCUGUCUUUUGCUUACUUAUCAAAAAGCCAAAAUAAGCAAAAUCAGAUUCAACAUGAACCAUCUACUCAGAAGCUACAAUCUAUGACACUACAACAACCAUAAAACAAGAAAUAUUUACAGAUUACAAUAUAAACUAACUUUGUCAUCGAUAUUAUAUAACAUGUAUAGCCUCAAUUUCCAGACAUCUUCCAUACAGUCCAGAGAAAAUCAAGAAGAAAUUUACAGCUAGCUUUGGAAAUUCUGGACCAAUAUUUUCCUGCUAAUACAAGAGUAUAAUUUAGCAUAAUCACAGUCAAAAUAACAUUUGCAUGCUCAAUGAUGCACCAUACAAGAAGCAUAUAAAACAUCUCCAUACAUGUUUUAACCAGACCAGAAGCAUGAAGAAUAGGAAGAAAUUAAGAGCCAAUAUUUCCAAUUCCAACAUGAAUAUGAUGAUAAAUAAAUACCCACAUUCCUCUGAGCUAAAUUCACAGGCAUGAGAGUAUCCAUCCAUUGCAGCACUAUCGAAACAAUACAUCAAAAAACAAACGUUUGAAUAUAGCUCACCUGCAUAGGAAAAAACUGGUCUGAUUUGAAGAGCUAAGAUUCCAAAUUCAAAGCUAUUAUGACAAUUAAUUAACGCCCACAUUCCUUUAGGCCAUUAAAAUCGAAACCCUAGAAUUCCUUGCAUGUUAUGAUGUUAACCAAGAAAUGCAUCAUACGACAAACACACAUCAAUAUUUCACUGUAUUUUUUCACACACACGUAAAGAAGCCAAGCCAAAAACCAGACCUAAUCUUUCAAAUUUUAGCAUGAUUAUGACUAUUAAUCAACACCCACGUUUUAUCAUUACAACAAAGCCACAACUCGAUAAAUUAUUUCAAAAAAAAUGCACUAUAAACACACAUGAAUCUGACAUUUGAAUGCAUUUUCCCCUAAAAAAAACCAAGCAAAAAUUGACAGCCAGCAUUUGAAAUUCAACUUAUUAGGCUAAUUAAUCAAUGCCCGUAUAAAGAAAUUAUGUAAAUAGAACAAACAAGGAUAUAUUAAGAAUUAGCAAGGAUGCAUCAUACGACAAACAGUCAAUAGCUGGUGCCCAAGCUGAGGCCUGGGAUAAACAAGGAUCAGGUUGGAAUAGAGGAACAAGUACAGGAAGUGGAAGCAUGACAAGAGAUGGGGCUGAAACUUGGAAUCAAUCGAAGGCCCCUGAUGGAGCUCAAUCAUCUGCUUGGAAUCAAACAAAAAAUUCAAAAGAAGGAACUAACAAUUUUAAGGAAGCGACUGAUUCAUGGGGUAAAGCUGCAGCAAAUUCUUGGGGCAAAAAACGUGAUCUCACACAAAAACCCAAAUACCCGAUACCCACAUUCUUUGUAAUCUCAAACAAAAUCAGUAGCCUAGAAAUCUUUUCUCAAAAAUGAACUCAAACAAAAAAACACCCAAACAACUCCUCUAACAGAGCCUUGAAACUCAAUAUUCUAAGACGCCAAUUUCUUUUCUUUCCUUACCUUUUUCCCACCACCCAAGCAAAGCACAAAACCACUCUCAGCCAAAGAAAAGCCUUGCAAUCGCCCACCGUUUGGUUCCUGAGAAAACGAAAAGCAAAACAAAAGAAAAACAGACCCAAACCCCAAGUUUAUUUCUUUUUUUCCCAAAUUUUCUCAGCAACCAAACAGACCCAAACCCAAAACACUUAGGGCAAAGCAUGAAAUAAGCAGAAUUUGGAAGGCUUUGUGAGGCCUUUACCUUGGACUAGUGGGGCUUUUGUGCAGAUCCAGCCUCUGGAAGGUUCUUCACCUCAGGCAGCGGCCUUCGAGACCAAUCCGGAUUUUCUGUUUGGGUUGGAUAAAGGGCUCGCUCCGCCUCCCCCUGUGAAAUUGCAGGAUCCAACGCCUCCACCCACGGUUCCAGAUGUGCUUCCCAAGGAUUAUUCAGUGUGAUCGGAUCCAGGAUCGGAGGAUCGCCAUGUUGUUGGAGAUCCAGUGGUGUCCCCUGCGGACUUCCAGAGGCAGAUCCAAAUGGAACAAUCGUAUGGUUACAAUGGCUGGUUCAAUGGUCAAAUUGAGGGUAAAUUAGUCUAAUAAAAAUAUAAGGUCUUCAAAAGAAUUAUCAAAUUUACCCAUUCUCAUUGGUCAUUUUUUCCACAUCCUACCCUUAUGGGUAAUUCUCCCUUUGAAUUUUGAACUACAUCCAAGUAAUAAAUAUUUUGAAAGUAAAUCCUAUAUACUACUUUAAAGAUGCGACAAAUGAAAUGACAGCUUCCAUAAAUAAUUAUCAAUUUUUUUAAUAUGUUAAUAAAAUCGUAAAAAUAUCUAAGGUACAUCGGACAGCAGGAUUCGAUCCAAAUGGGUAAAUUCAAAAUCACAGAAGUUGCUUUGAAUGACUUGGGGGUGUUUGGGCAAUGAGAAUAAUUGGGAACAUUUUCUCACUUGCAGGAAAACAGCAGAAAAGUGUAACGUAAGCACUCUAGGAAAGAACCAACAAGAACAUUGUUUGUGUGAUGUCUGAUGAUCAAACCCUCUUCGAAAUGUACGAAACUCAUCUCCGUGGAUUUUCUCAAGACCCACUGCACAUCAAUCUCCAAAACCAAGCAAGCCCACGCACUCCUCCUCCGAACCCACCUCUUGCACAACCCCCUCUUCUCAAGCAAGCUCAUCUCUUUCCUGGCCCUUUCCCAUUCUGGCGACCUCAACUAUGCCCGAAAACUCUUCACCCAGAUGCAAAACCCGGACCCAUUCAUCUGUAACACCAUGAUCAGGGGCUACGCAAGAAGCCAAAAUCCCUAUGAAGCCGUGUCUUUGUACUAUUUCAUGGUUGAGCGCGGCGUUCCUGUGGACAAUUACACAUACCCAUUUGUUUUGGCGGCCUGUGCUCGCUUGGGGGCUGUGAAAUUGGGUCGGAGGUUUCACUGUGAGGUUUUGAAAAAUGGGUUCGGGUCAGAUUUGUUUGUUAUCAAUGCAUUGAUUCAGUUUUACCAUAACUGUGGGUCCUUUGGGUGUGCUUGCGACGUGUUUGAUGAAAGUACUGUCAGAGAUGUGGUGACUUGGAAUAUAAUGAUAAAUGCGCAUCUUAAUAAAGGGCUGUCUGAAAAAGCUUUUGAUUUGUUAGACGAAAUGACGAAAUUGGAUAAUUUAAGGCCGGAUGAGGUGACAAUGGUCAGCUUGGUUCCGGCUUGUGCACAAUUGGGGAACUUGGAAAGAGGAAAAUUUCUUCAUUCUUACUCAAAAGAGCUUGGUUUAGACGAGAAUCUUAGGGUAAACAAUGCAAUUUUGGAUAUGUAUUGUAAAUGUGAUGACAUAGAAUCAGCACAAGAGGUUUUUAAUAGGAUACGGGAGAAAGAUGUUUUGUCCUGGACCAGCAUGUUGUCAGGGUUGGCCAAGUCAGGUUAUUUCCAAGAGGCACUAGCUUUGUUCCAGAAGAUGCAGCUGAAUAAGAUUGAGCUAGAUGAAAUCACACUUGUGGGCGUGCUUUCUGCCUGUGCUCAGACAGGAGCACUGGACCAAGGCAAGUAUAUCCAUCUCUUAAUAGAUAAAUUUGAAAUAAAUUGUGACCUUGUGCUUGAAACCGCUCUUGUUGAUAUGUAUGCUAAGUGUGGAUCCAUAGAUUUGGCUCUACAAGUCUUUAGGAGGAUGAGAGUGAGGAAUGUUUUCACAUGGAAUGCACUGAUAGGAGGGUUGGCAAUGCAUGGUCAUGGCGAAGAUGCAAUAUCCUUAUUCGAUCAGAUGGAACACGACAAACUAAUGCCAGAUGAUGUUACAUUCAUCGCUCUAUUAUGUGCUUGCAGCCAUGCAGGAUUGGUUGAUGAGGGUCUUGCCAUGUUUCAGGCCAUGAAGAAUAAGUUUCAGAUUGAGCCAAGGAUGGAACACUAUGGAUGUGUGGUGGACUUGCUUUGCCGAGCCAGGAAGGUGGAUGAUGCAUUGGCCUUCAUUGAGAAUAUGCCCAUCAAAGCUAACUCUGUCUUGUGGGCUACUCUUCUUGGAGCUUGUAGGAGUGGCGGCCAUUUUGAUCUUGCAGAGAAGAUCGGUAGAAGGGUGAUUGAGUUGGAGCCUGAUUCUUGCGGGCGCUAUGUGAUGCUGUCGAAUCUCUAUGCAGGUGUCAGCCAGUGGGAUCACGCCUUAAAAUUAAGGAAGCAGAUGAAAAACAAAGGAAUCGAGAAAACCCCAGGUUGUAGUUGGAUAGAGUUGAAUGGCAUGAUUCACCAGUUUGUAGCAGGUGAUAGAUCACACCUUCAAACAGAACAGAUUUAUGCUAUGAUUGAAGAGAUGACCCGAAGGGUCAACUUGGAUGGAGGCCAUGUACCGGGCACUGCAAAUGUCUUGUUCGAUAUAGAGGAGGAAGAGAAAGAGCAUUCUCUGUUCCUCCAUAGUGAAAAACUGGCCAUUGCCUUGGGGUUGAUCAGCACUCCAAGCGGUUCACCAAUUCGAAUCGUUAAGAACCUCCGUGUCUGUAAUGACUGUCAUUCUUUUCUGAAGGUGACUUCCAAGGUUUAUAAUCGAGAGAUAGUUGCAAGGGAUCGGAGCCGAUUUCACCAUUUUAAAGAGGGUUCUUGCUCCUGCAUGGACUUCUGGUAAAUUUUGGUUGACAACUUUUGUGACUUCUGCUGUAAAACAACUCCAUGAGUGGUACUUAAUUUGUACAUGUACCAAAUCAUUUUUUUUUCCCUGCUAAAUAAUACAGUUACUUCCUGAUAAGAUCAAAUCAGAAUCUGGGAAGCUUCUAUUAAAAGUCCAAGUUCUUGAGGACGAAUUUCAUAAAGGGAAGAAUGAUGCAUGAAAGAAUGAAUGUGAGAUGUAACUGAAUCUUCGUAUCAUACUCAGAAACUAUACAAUAAUUUUGGAAACAGUCUGAAACCAUUUACAGUAUUCAGGAACAUUAAAAUACAGGACUAAACUAGCUAAACGCAGCAGCAAAAUGUCAAUUAUAAUUUAAGUUUCUAUUUGAAAGAUUUCAGAAUUCUGAGAACUUUGUCAGAGUGAUUCAGAAGCAUCUCUAAUCACUAGCAUACAACAAAGGAAAAUCUAGGGUGCAAAUAAGGUAGAAGAAUCCCAUUUUCUACACCUUGAGGACUCAGAAUCCCAUUUUUAACCUUUCGCAUUGAUCGCCGAUGGAUCAUGACUCACUCAUUACAUAUUCGCUUGAAGCAUUGCUCUCAAGAAGCAAAGGCAUAUAAGCCCUCUGAAACAGGUCAAUUUCUUUGCCUUGAUCAUCGUCUUGCUCCUUCUUCUCCAGAUUGUGCAGGCUCUGGAUAUCCAGGUAUGGAUUCAUGGUGCACUUGGUUAGUUCCAUUCUCCACUGAACGCUCUGGCCCAGGAAGUAGCCACUGAUGAGAACGAUCUACAGAAAUCUCAGGACUGUCAACAGAUUGGGCCGUGUCAAAUGCUUCUGGCCUCACGUGUUUUGUUUCAAAAGAGUCUUGUAACGAGAGCCGGCAGACUGGGCAAGUAGACUGUUUUCUUAGCCAUACAUCAAUGCAAGAGAGAUGAAAGUUGUGUCCACAUUUGGGCAUGAUUCUCAAUACCUCUUUCUCUUGAUACUCACCCAAACAUAUUGAACACCUGCAGGAGUAAAAGGACAACCAAAUCACAUCCAAGACCAACAAGACCUUAGAAAUCGCGUUAAUUUUAACUAGGGAUCAAAUGGACAAAAAGAAAACACCAAACAUCUCAAUUGGGUUUCACCAAUUCAAUCAACAUCCAUUAAUCCGAGAUCCAAUGAAUGAAUAAUCACAAGCAAUAAAUUAUACCAAUUCAGUUGACAUUCAUUAAUCUUCAAUCCAGGAAACAAAACAGAUUUGGGGCGGCACUUGCAUAAGAACACAGAUGUACACAAGAUGACAAAACAAUAACAACAAAUACCAAUCUGAUAAAGAUGUGUGAAUUGCACAACUAAUGCCCAAAGGCAGGUACCUCAAACCUGCCAUUUUUAUGGGGUUUGAUCCCUGGGCAUAAAUCUCUGAAGCUGAUGAACUCCAAAACCUAAUAAAACCCCAUGUUACACCAAGUCCCAGACUUCCAAAAGCUGAGAGGACAAUGUGUUACAUUAAGUUAUUAACAGAGAUUCAAAGUUUCUUCAAUCAGUAGUAAAAAGGAGGCUACACUUACUGUGCAUCUUCCACAGAACUAAAAGCCUCCCGGUUGAACUUCAUUGUUGGGAUUGCAGCAACCAUAACAGGUUCAAGGCCACUAAUCCGAUGCUCUGGCUGGCAGAAAAACAAGAACAUUCAAUUCCAAAGCUCAAAAUUUUUUAUAGAUAAAGCAAAAUAUCUGCAGCAGGAAGGAAGAUUGCAGAUGCAAUUCAAAAAGAAGAUUAUCUUAUGAAGCCACCCAUCAUAAAUCAUGAAGGGAAGAACAACCCCAAAUCGAUAUUAAUGGUGAAGAGGAACUAAACCUCUACAAAUUGGAUUAGACAUGGGCACAUCUUCACAGAUUUUGCAGUUUUAUUCUCUUUUGUGCAGUUGCAUUGUGAGUGUGUUUCACAACAAUGCCUUACCAUUAAAAUUUUCUAAUUCAUUUCUACCCCAUCAAAGCAAUUUGAACUACAGCCUCCCACAACUAAAUCCAGGAACAAUAACAAUUGACAUGAAAUCCAGAAGAAAGGUGUGGUCAAUCAUAUUAUAAGUCUACAAAAGAAAGAAACACACCAUGCCUGAACCAAGUGAAAACUUUCACCAAAGCUACCAAGAAAGAAUUGAGGAGCAUGCUUAAAUUUCAAUCCUUGAAAUAGACCCGCAAAGUUAGAGAAUUACAGGAUCAUUUGGGAACUUCCAUCAAACACAGCUCCCCAUGGGAUAAACCAGAGAUCCAACAAUUGUCAGAAUCAACCCAGAUCAGCUAUUCUUACCAAAGAAGAGAACACCCAGUACAGAGAAUGGAAUAAUACCUGUUCAAGAUCGAUCCUAGAGUCAAUUUCGAACAUCUGCCGCGACUCGACCCCUCGGAGCCUCCCACAUAUCAAUCUUGUGCAUACAAACACAAUAAAAGUGGCACUCAUCCCAAACCCAAUAACAGUAGUAAUCAAAUUCAUCCCACCCAACAUCUCCAACCCCAGUUCCCACUCCUCAAAGCCUAUUCACAAAACCAAGAAACACCCAGGAGUCUAAAUCUAUAAAUCUACAAAGAAUAUGAAAGUAAAAACAAAGAAAACAGUAACUGCAACACAAGGUAGAUCGAGAAAUGGGGCGCUGGUUCUUCAAAAAGCGAGAACACCCACAGCUGCCGCAACAACAACAAACAGCAAAAGUAGAAAAAAAAAAAAUCAAAGAAAAGAAACAAAACCCAGAUCAAGUUUGUUGAAGAAAUGGGAACUGAGAAUUCCCAGAUUCAGGAAAACCAAUCAAAACCCAAAAUUCACAAACUACCCAUCUGGAAUCCUAAUCGCUUUGGGUGGACUCAAAGUUAUUACUGGAGGGGCCAUGAACGGAUGGUGUGGAUCAAGGAAGGAGACAGUUCGUUUUCUUGCUCUUUGGAAGGGUAUUCGCGGGGUCCACAGGCGAAGGGACCCACAAAAAUUGUGGGGUUCUGAUCAGACGGUUGACAGGGGGUGUGGGUUUUGGCGGCAAAAGGGGUUCAACGGUAAAAAAAAAGUGGAUUUUGUAGGAUUGUGGAUUGUUGAGGAUGAUGACGCUGAUGUUUUCCGGGUGCCGAGAAUCUCUCUCUUUUUCUCAGAGAGAGAGAUGUGGGUUUGCUUUUGCAUCUCCUAGUCUCAUUCUUCUCAACCUUACUGCUUCUGGAUAAGACUCAGUCCUCUCUCUGUGUCUCAUCUUCAAUUAUUGACUUUGUUUAUUGAAGUGAGUGAGUUUUCUCCGUUAGUGGUUUUGGUCUAAAUUGUACUUGAUGCCUCUUCAGAUACUUUUGACUUCCUUGUCCCCAUACUUCCUUUACAAGAAAAGAAAAUGAAAGGAAAUUUUCUACAAGAUUUCUUUUGGCUACUCCAAAUAUGAAAUAUUAAUUUAUUUAUUUUUUAAUAUGGAUGCUGUUCUUGUUUGAAAACCUCAAACAAGUCGAAAUAAGUAUUUAUGAUUUUCUUCCCUUUUGAUAGAAAAGCCUGAAGCACCUUGAUGGGUAUAUCAACUUCCUCCAUUUUUCUGUCAAAUAAAUACAUUUUGAAUUAAAUAAUGUUUAAUUUGUUAAUGAUUCUAAUAAUUUUUAAAAAAAUAUAUAUUAAAAUUAAAAAUAUAAAAAUUAAUCUCAAGAUUUCCCAAACUAAAAUUGAUUCUAAAUAAUAAUUUAAGUUUUUCUUUUCCAUAAAAUUUUAAUUUUUCUGAAUUUUCUCAAAUUUAAUAGUUGGAUUCAUUAGUAAUUUUUAAAAAUGAUUUGAAAUUAAAAAUUAAAUAUCAAAUUUGUUUUGAACCAAAGCUAGGAGGGUUAUGUCAAAUUUUCUACUAAAUGUAAUAUAUAUUUGAAAUUUUCCAUUAGCAAACUAACUUCAAAUUAAAUAAAAUUUGAUGUGUUGAAUUCUUUAGCAAGCCUAAUAAUUUUUAAAAAUAAUUUGAAACUUAGAAUUAAGUCCUCACUACCAUAAUUUGCUAGAUAGAGUGGUCAAAAGAUGUAUCUGUAAUGAAAAUUGAUAUCAUAAUUUUGAUUUACUUAUAUAUUUUAAAAAUAAAUUAUAAUUGUUUUAAUAAUUUAUUUUAAAUAAGAUAUUGUUAAUUUUCAUUUUCUAAAAUUUUAUUAUUUAUAUUCAAUAAAAAUAAAUUUAUUACUUUAUUAAAAUAUUAAUAUGCAUACUUUAUAAUUUUUAUUAAAAUAUUAUUACUUAAUUUAAAAAUAUAUGAUUUAUGUUGUUUCACCAAUGUCACUAUUUUUAAAUUGUAGUAUUAUAUUAAUUACUUUAAAAUAUUCUCCUAGUUUGUAUUUAGUUUUUUAUUAUUUAAUAUUUAUUUUAAGUUAAAUAGGAAUUUUGUGUAAAAUUUUAAAAUAUUAUAAUUCAUUCUUAAUUCUAAAAAAAAUUACCAUUUAUUUUUAUUAAAUAAUAUGAUUUUAAUAUUUAUUGAAGAAUUUGAUAAAUUGAGAAAUGUUUGGGUUUAUUAAGUAUCUGGAAAGGGUAUUUUUGGAAUUAAAGGUAAAUCACUGUUGCAAGAGAAAUUAUUUCAAGCAGGAAAAAUGGUGGAAAAUUUUGAAAAAUGGCUUUUGUUCAAGUUCAACAGAGAAUAUGGCAAGAAAAUGUGAGGAGUGGGGCAUGGUUCAAGGGGCUUGAAGACAUUGUUUUCCCCUCUUUUUUAUCACUUUUUCAUUUAUUUUCUAGAAAAUAGUGUUUUUUAAGUUAUUUUUUAAAAAUUGUAUUAGAAAAUAAUUAUACAAAUAUAAAAAAUAAUCAAAAAUAAAAUUUAUUUUUAAGAAAUAUUUAAAAAUAUUAAAACAAGUUGACAAUAUUUUAAAUCCCCAGACAUACUUUUGAUAGGAAAACAAUUUUUGAAAAAUAUUCCCUAGCAUCCCUUAAUUUCCUUUGCCAGCUAAAAGGAAGAAUUCUUGCAUCUGUGACAGAGUACUUGUUCCAUCAUUAAUAUUCUUGUCUCAGUAUCAAUCUUUCUCUUCAUUUUUGGUAAACCCCACCUCCUUUUCUUCUCCCUUUCUUGGAAUAUUUUGUGGAAAAGGAAAGAGAAAAAAAAGAAAGGGGAAAAGCCUUUUGUUUUGGGUAUAAAGGCUCUCAACCAUCUUGCAAUUUACAAGAUCAGAGUCUAGAGAAGAAUCCAUGAUGGAGCCAGUUUGAUGUAUGACAUAGCAUUUGCCCUAUUGGCAGUGAGAAGAACACAGAACCUGAUAAAAACAAGUGUCCCAUAAAUAAUCCAUGAUGGCUUGAGAAUAAGCCCAAAUCCAAGUUUCAAACCCUGCCUGGAAGAUAAAUCAAUCUAGUAUUCUUGAAAAACACUUCAGUUAUGACAUAUGAACCCCUUGAAUCGCUUGAAAUAGUAGAGAUAAAGAAGAAGCUAAAACAACCUCAAUCCAUUUGAUUUCCAUGGAAAUAUAAGAACAGAAAUCUAAAUUCAAAAUCUUUUAGAACCCUUCCUGUUUUCCUACACCUCCUCAACAGUCAUAUUGUAAGAUUUUUAGUGCAUUAGGGCAACAGAAUAUUCAGAGACUCACCAGCAUUCCAGCAUGUUUACUGGUUCCCUUGGCUGCGACGGCAUGAGGAUUUUCAUCUUUGAUCCAAUCAACUAAUUCAUUUUGUUAAUUGAAUAUAAGUAAAUCCAAGUGAAAAGGGUCCUAAUAAUUUCCUUCAUUUCAAGAAAACAUGGCAAACAUUUGAAAGCAUACCAAGUUUGAUAGUAUGAAAUAAAGCAGGUGGAGUAGCCGAGAUCUGAUUAGAUUUUACAUUUAGUUUAGGUUGCUAGGUAAUCAAACAAACUGACACGAAAAUAAUCUACGUCUUUUGAUAUAUAUAAAACAGGAAAAAAAAAAAAUCAAGUAACUAUUAGUCAAUCAGGGCUAUCUCUAUGAUUCAAAAAGAAGUUAGAUCCAAACAAGCAAAGCUAUCUCUAUGAUUCAAAAAGAAGUUAGAUUCAAACAAGCAUAGCUCCCUCUAUGACUCCCAUUUUUGAAAAGACGGGAAAUAAUAUUAAAGAAAAGGAGAUAAAGCAAUGUACAUCCUAGCUGAAGUAUGGACACUAGCAUUAUCAAUCAAAAUCCAUGUAAGCUUAGAAGGGAACUCACUAUAUAAAAAAAAAUCUCAGAAGUUUUAUAACAGUGAAAUGUGAUACAAGUUAAAAAGCACCAUGUAUUUUGUAGUGAAGGUUAUAGAUUUUGGUUUUUGGUUUAAACUUCUGGUCGCCUAUGAUUCGAACAUAAGGUAUAUUGUAGUCAAAGUUACAAGUCAAAGUUACAAAUUUUACAACUUCGUCUCAUAAAAGUUUAGAAACCAACAAAAGUUACAAGCUAACUUGUAGAAAAAUAAACCUAAAUAUAUAAACAACUGCUGUUCACCAAAGGCCUAGAUGAUGAAGAAAUUUGAUUAUACUUACUCCAUAAUGAUCCAAAAGGCAUGUUUGCAAACAAGAAUUCAGGGCCCUUGACAACUUCAACCCUAGUCAAAACAAGAUGGAACCACCAACUGAUUUGUCCUACUUUACAAUCCUUUAUUCUUUCCAUACCAAUCACAUUGAUCCGAGAUAUUCCAAAUAAAAUUUAUAAUACUUUGGAUUAUAGUAUAAUUUCCAAAAAGAGCCUUUCCAUAUUUUUUAGUAAUUAUAAAUUGAUAAUCAAUUCGAUAAGCAUAGGAUCAGAAUAGAUGCUACGAAAGGAAUAUUUAUAGCCUUACCAGGUGAAUUAAUUCUACAAAAAGAUAAGUGGGUGGAUCAACAAAGCUGGCCAACCAUUAAGAGCUUGGCCUGCCCUCCUGGUGAAUUCCUGACAACAAUAUCUACCUGAAACAAACUGCCUCAAAACCAAAACUAUGAUGAGAAAAUUUCUCAAAACACGAUCAUUAAUUUCCCAAGUUAUUCAGGAUACAAGGUAUGUAGUGUUGUUUUGUUAUUUCCAUAGGAAAUCAAUAUCAAAACAGCCACAUCUAAUACAUGUUAGGAAAUGCCACCAAACCACUUAGUAGGACGAAUGAUCCAUUCACUUUUUGCUUCUUAUAAAUGAAUUAAACCUCAAUACUUUGACACAUGUUGGUGCAUCAAAUUCAAUUCUGCUCUCAAGAUCAACACAGAACUACGCAUCCAUCUUUCCAAUGUUAGGUUCCCUUUUAGUACUCAACCAACUAAACGCAAAGGUCAAAAGAAAGCGAUGGAACACCAAUUCUUCAUCACAACAUCUAUUCUAUUAUUUCUAUUUCUUCACUUUCCUUACCUUCAUCAUUGGGAACCACUAUAUGGAAUACAAUUUCUUAUAGAUUAGUUUAUCAAAGAAACAAUAGAAAAGCACACACACCAAGCUACAAAAUUUCAACAGAAUUGAGAAGUACAAUUAAAGGCAUUUAGAUAAUUCUCACCAAACAUUUAAUUUGAGUACAAGAAAUGGACAUUUUAUUCAAUCAAGUGGCAAACAAAACAACAAAAACCAACCAAACCCAGAAAAUCCAAACCAACCAACAACAUUCCACUGGAAGAUAAUCCAAUUAUUAGAGAACAGAAUCUCAACAAGGGAAAAGGAAAAGAAACAAGUGAUUCUGCCAAAUUCUCACAUACCGACCUCACCAAAUCAAGAAACCGUGUCACAAAUCGCCAGCUUACUCCACAGCAGUUCCAACUGGUACAUUUACAUUCUUGUAGAGGCAAAUAUAGGGUGCAUCACACCCCACAUAAGGCCCAGUCCACCUCCCUUCAUCAAUGUAGCUAGCAUCCCAAACUGAGGCAUACAGAAACAUGGGUUUCUGUGGAAACCCUUCUCCAUCAGCUCUCACCACCGACCUAAUUACUUUCCCAUCAAUCAACCAUUGGAUCAAAUCUGGACCCCACUUGAUGACAUACUCGUGAAACCCAUCAGAACAGUCGAAACCCAGAUCGUGUAUAGCUUCUCUGUUUCCAGUCCCCGCAGUGUAGUAAUUUGUCUGCACGAUUCGCUUGUCUUUGCCCAAGAAUUCGAAGUCAAUUUCGUCUUGGGACUUGUCGCCUUCGAGAGAGGACAGAUAGAUGUUGAAGUUGAGGCCGCUGGUGUUGCCUUUGGGGCACUGGAUGAGGGAGCUAAAGGUGCCGUAUUGGAAACGGGUGGUGGAGCGCCACCGCGAGCCGCCGCGGUGGUCAAAGGUGAGGGUGAUGGUGGAGGAUUCCGGGGAAUGGGUGCAUGAUUCGGGACAGUAGUCGACGGCAAUGAACUUUAGGGGUUGGGCCUCGUGGUGGAGAGAAGGAUCCGCCAUUGGAGUUGCAGAGAAUGGGAGGACAGAUUAUUUUGGUCAACGAAACGUGGAAAGACUCUCAGAUCAGAUGACGUCGAUUCACAUCUUGCUUUCUGAUUGGUUUUUCAAUUAAUCAAACGACCGUCGAUUCACAUCUUGCUUCCUGAUUGGUUUUCUUAAUUGAUUAAUUGUGGUAUGAUUAAAGUAAAUGCAAAUGGAUGUUCCGUUAAAAACAAGAAAGAUGUCUUUUCCAUCUCUUCUAUUAUAUCAAUUUUCUUUUCCAAUAUAACAUGAAGAAAUGUCAGAUAUAAUAAGCUCCUUAAUAUUAGGAAAUUUUCAUAAUUUUUUUAAAAUUUAAAAUUACAUAUUUAACUUUAAUAAAAUUUUAAAAAUCAUUUUUAUUUAAAUUUAAAAAAUUAAAUAAUUAUUAACUAGGAUUUGAUAUAUGCUUCUUUUAAAAACUUUUUUUUUUUUCUACAAUUCCAUAUUCCACGAUCAAGAUGGGAUGUAAAUUGUAGUUUGCAAUGGAAUCCGGGAAGGGCUAAGGACUUGAGUUCUUCUUAGACGAUUGGACUAAAUGGGCUUCUAAUUCCCAUCCAAAGGACAAACAAAGGCACAUGGACUUCCAGUAGAGGCCCAUAAUAUUGGGCUUUGGAUUUACUGGGCAUGUUUCGUGUAAAUCGAGGAAAACAGACGAAGCAUCUUUAUCCACUAAACAAGCACGAGAGGAUGAUUAGUUGUUUUCCCUUUUGUUCUUUAUUCAGUGGCAUAUGUUAUAAAAUAGGAGCAUAAAAGACUGCUGACUGGUAAGGGAGCCAAGCAACAUUGACUCAUUUCAAGUUCUUGGAGUUUCUGAGGUUGGUGACCGAGUCGCCUCACCUCAAUAACAACGAUUUCCGGUAUCGAAAAGCUUCAUCUGCAACCCAACAUUAGUAAAUGGACAAGGGUAUAGAAUAGCUAUGCGAAUGAGGAGGGUCAACUACGAGGCAAAAUGAGCAGAAUCCUAGAGCAUUUGCAAGCUACAUAUGAAACAAACACAUUGUUUUUCUACACCCCAUUGGCCCCCCACCUGUUGUCAAUCUCUAUUUUACCAUUAAUCUAGGCCAGAGGCCGAGUAAUAGACAUGUGCCGCGUGCAAUUCCACAAUGUGUUUUGAGCCCAAAAUCCCUAUCAUGAGACGACAAAUCUCUCAUUUCCACACCUAGAGGAAUGGAAGUGCUGGGAAUCUUCAAGGCCGCAGUUCAUCGACUAUGGUCCUAAUCCAAGGGCCACCUUAACGAUUGGACUGGAAGUUUUCUCCCUAAACUACCCUCGAGUUAUCAACUAACCCGCAUUGUGAUGUAUGAGAAAUAUUGUAGAAUUUGUUCACUUACAGUGGCAGGUUGGUCUCCGCAAUGCAACCAACACAAAGGACACGGUACGGAGCUUGAGCCCACAAAUCAUUCUUUCUCCAAUUGCUAAACUCCAAUGGCUACCUCUGCGUCACUACCAAUUAAACUAACUUUCCCGCCGGAUUUAAAAUUCGGAUCCAACGUUCCAUAUCCGCUCUUCAUUCACAAGCAGACAAACUUGAACCGCCUUUCCUUUGUCGCCUCCUUGCUGUUACUUUCCCCACUUAAGCCGUCUGGCUUGGGAUGAAGUCACAACUUUGGAGCUGACUGGCUGUGGCAUUAGCUUCCAAGGAAUCGCUUUAGAUAAGCUUGGGUUACUUCUGAAACUUCACCUGUGUCAAUACAAACUCAUGCAUAAAUGACAUUUUUAUAACCCAACAUAUUUGGUAUAAAUUUUUGGUACAGAUUUUCUGAUAAGUAGAAUUCAAGCCAUUGAAAUUUGCCCAUGAGAUUUUAAGUCUUUUCUUGUUUUUUUCUUUUUCUUUUCUUCUUCUUCUUCUGUUUUAUUUUUCCUUUUUUUUUUUUGUUAAUGGUCAGUUUUACAUGCAUUUUCUGUUUAUUACUGAGCAGAAUAAUUACCUUUACAUUUCACUAGCUGAUAAGGAAAUCAAGCCUAGCUGAGGGGGUUAGCAAGGACAUCACGCAUCAGAAUGAAGAUAGAAAAUUUAAUAGGAAAAAAACAAACAAAUAAUGGAGAAGAGAUAUACCUUAUAUUCAUUAAUUAAACUUGGAAUCAUUCUAUUUAUAGUGCCAGAUCAGUACCACCAAUGCUUAUCUGUGCAUCAUAUGCAGUCAUAGAAUUUAUUACUCCUACCGAUCUUCAUUGAACCAGGAAAGUCCAUCACAGCUUGACCUAGCUCUUCUUGUGACUUUGGCCGUAAUGGCAUCCACCAAAACUACUUCUGCAGCCACCUCUACAACCAACACCAUGGCACAACCAAGCAAACCAGCGGUUCGUAGAUUUGUAGGUGUUCGACAAAGACCUUCAGGAAGAUGGGUUGCAGAAAUUAAGGACUCAUCACAACGGGUAAGACUAUGGCUAGGAACGUAUGAUACCCCUGAAGAAGCAGCUCGGGCUUAUGACGAAGCUGCCAGAGCUCUACGAGGGGAGAAUGCCAGAACCAACUUUGCGCCAGUUAAUCCCAAUUCAUACCAAUCGGGUUCCUCCCCUUCUAAGGGUGGGUUCGUGUCAGAAUCUGAGGAGCGGAAUGGGCUCAGCUUCUCUUCCUUGAAAGCCAAACUUAGCAAGAACUUGCAAAGUAUCAUGGCUAGGACAUCAGAUAAUAAAUCAUCUAAAAGCAGAGUAAGUGAUCACUUCACUUUCGCUAGCAUAUUCCACUCAAGGAGUUACCAUUACCAAAGCCCUGUUGACAUGAAGAGUAUGGAGAAGGUGGUGCAACCAAGCAUCAUUGUCCCACAUGUUGCAGAUGAGCCCUCGUGGGAAAGCUCAAGUGUGUCAGAUUGUAGUACGGAAUGGGUUGGAUUCCGGCAACAUGGAUUGGAUUCUGAUGGAUCAGAUAUUGGAGAGAUUUCUGCUAGCGAACAAGGGUUUGUUGAUCAAAUGAUGGGGUGGAUAGAUAGUCCAGAGUUGAGCAUCAGCACGAGUGAAGUCUCAAGGAGUAAAAGGUUCAAGGUCUCUUCUUCUGUGGUGGUUCCCCCAACCUUUAGUGGCUCUCCAUAUAAUGGUGAGAACUAAUGAUGUGCUGUUAUGGAAGUUAAUAAAUUUUGUGCUAUGUAAUGAAUUAAGCUUCAGCCCAAAGGGUGUCUGAAGCCACAAGAAGUUAUUGUUUUCGAGUGAUGAUGAAGAUAAACUCCUGAAAGUAUGUGUACGGUGUACCACACAAAAACACAGUGAGAGAUAAAACAACAACAAGGUGUCCAAUAAGAUGAUCAAGUUUGGUGCAUGAUGACUCUGUCAAACUUCAAUAACAGUUCUUGUUCUCUCCAGUAAGCUGAUGUGGAUUAAAGAUUUGGUUAAUGCAACAUGAAGACUUCUACUAUGUGUGAAGUACAUACCUAAUGUGUGUGAAGUACAUAUAUUUACGUGGAAUGAUAGUACAAAAGUUUGGAAUGUAUAUGAUAAUAAAAAGGGUGCAUUUAAUUGCUUCCUAGUUCAUGAGAAGUUGUCCCUUAUGCAUUUUUAAUAUGCUCACUAGUUACAUUGAUCUCAACAGCCUGUAGCAAUCAACACUUUCUUUUACUCUAGGUAAUAUAGAAUGAAAAGCUAGAUACUUUGAUAUGCUUGAGAUAAACAUGUAAUCCCUUGGAGUGAACUAUAGCCAUCCUCAAGAUUUACUUUAAUUUCACAUCAGAUGCUCUCUAUUUUUCAGUAUGCAUAGGGCUUGGGACUUCUCGAUUUUUCAAUUGACUCAGCCUGUAACCUAAAACAACAUAGUUCAAAGUUAUGCCUUUGGAUUAUGUCCCCCAUCAUAGUCCAUUGGGUUCUUCGGCAAGGUUUCUAUAUUUUAUGGAAGAGAUCACUGCCUAUGUCUUGGCCUCUAGCACUAGCAGCUCUUUGCUAUUUGAAUAGGAAAUAUUCUAUUGGGGUGAUUUUCAGUGCACGUUCAGGACCAUUGUUUUUUGCUCCUUGACCGUGUAACAACAGGAAGUUCAAGGAGUGAAAUCCCGGAAAGAUGAUCAAUUCAAUAGUAGUCUCGGACAGGCGCCACCCUUGUAAGCUUAGGACGAAUACUACCCAACCAAGAGGAAGAGGAAGAAGACAAGGAGUUCAAAAUCAAGAGAGCAGAAACAAGAUGAGAGAAAGGGACAUACAAAGAAAGCAAAAUACUAUACUUCUUGUCACUUUGGUACAUUGGAUUUUUCAUAAGAUCCACGAGACAACCAGUCACCAUCAUAUUUCUUUAGCGAAACUAAUCAAGGGUUUGGCGUUUGUCAAAGAUAUUUUAUUUCCUAAGAGGAAUCUAGACCUGAGCAGUGAGGCAUUUGUUAACAUCUUCUUCAAAACACUGCAAGACACAACUAAGAUGGUUCAGGUUUCAGAUGAGACAUUUAGCAGGUCGAAUGCCACAAUAAAGUUCACUAAUUCCUAUAACAAUUUCUGACACUUUUAGCAGAAUCCAAGAAAGGGAAUGCAAGUAGAAUGCUAUAUUGAAAAUUUACCUGUAAUUUUGCCAACUACAUAAAUCAGUAGCAAUCUUUCCUAAACCACACAUCCAAUCGAAGUGGUGAGUUUCAAUUUUUUUAGAGCAGUGAAAUUAAAUUAUUUAAGACUUUAUUGCUAACUGGGGCAGAAAACCAUUUCUUCUCAGCAUAUUACGGCUCAAUCGUUCCCAAUCUCCCUCUAACCUCCGUUUGGCUGCCGAUAAAAUUGAGGAAAAGAAAAUGAAAUUUUUAAAUAUUCCGGUUGGCAGAAAACUGACCUCGAUUUAGUACUAGUUCGCCUCAAUAGAAUGGAGACUCUUGUUUUCAUGGAUGCUAAACUAAAAACGUACAUAUUUGUAAAAGAUUCAAUGGUUCAAUUCCUGUUCUCUUCUUUUCUCGGCAACCAAACAAGUUGUAAACACGGGGACCAAAGAGGAAUAUUUACCUGUAUUUGGGGCGUGGGCAUCACCACCAAUAAACCCUAGACUAACCCACUUCUUUCUCCAAGGGAUGCAUUUUUCGUUGGGUGGUAGAGGAAGUUGACCACCGAAUAUAGAAAACCUUUACCGUAUAAUAAAACGCUCCGUUUUGUGCCCAUUCUGUGGAAAAGCACUUUUUGGUUCGGAGCUGUUUGUCCGUUUCGUCACCACCUUUUCUCCGUUUAUGGUCGGGCCAUCCAUACACGUGAUGUGAAAUUUUGUAAAACCCCGUUAGCCACCAUCAAUAAUGUCAUUUCUAAUUAGCUUCCUAUAAGUAAAGGACAAGCGUAUUUGUAACAAGAUGUAUUUGAAUGGUUUUUUCGAGCAUAUCCCUUCGAAAUUUAAAUUAAUUUAUGAAAAGAGAAAACAAUAGUUUUCUUAAAAAGCAUUUUUUACAUUGAAAAAUUUGAUGUCAAAUGACUUUUUAUUUUGAUAAAUAAUGGUUUUUUUGGCUUAAAGUCGCAUAUUUUAUGUUCAAGAUUGUUUUUAAUGUAACGAUUCGAAACAUUUAUUACUUGUACAAUUAAUAUAAAUGUGGUUUGAAUGGCCCCUUGUCCGUUUGAUACUUUGGUGGAAAAUGGAUUUAUACCUAGAUAAAUGUGGGGUCCACAAAUUAUAAGAAUGAUAUAUAAUGAAAUUUUAUAAAUACGCAAAACUAAGUAUUAUAAAAUAAAGUCAAAUUAUAAUCAAACAAGUUAAUUCAUGUUAGGGUCAAAAGAGAAUAAGGUAAUAUAUAUUUCGUCAUUGACAAUAUUUUAUAAAGGAAGAUAAAUUGUUGUACUCCCUCUAAAUUCUUUGAAUUAGUGAAAUCAAAGCUCAUAAUGUGAAAUUAAAUGUUCUAAUUUGACCUAUAAAUACAUAUGUUUUUCUUUAAUAUCAACAUUUAAGAAAAAUAAGAAGAGAAGAUUUUGAAAAGUUUGACUUGAAUAAUAAGAGUUUAUAUUUGAUUAUACGAUUUAAAAACAGUUUUUUAUUUUUAAAAACAAGAAAUUGUUUUUAUAAUUUUUUAAUACUGUUUGGUUGUUAUUUUUUAUAAACAGUCUUUAAAAACAAAGUAAAAAUAAUAAUAACUUUUGGAAUAUUUAUUAUUUAUUGAUUAUAUUAUUAAUUUAAUAUGUAUUUUUUGUAUUUAAUAGUAUAUAUUAAAUCAUUUCCUCAUGCGACUGAGAUAAGCUAUAACAAUAUAGUUAUUCAUGUCACGAGCUUAUAAUAAUACCGUUUAAAAUAUAUUGUAAUGAUGUGAUUUAAAAGAAUAGAUUAUGAAAUAAUUUAUUAUAAAAGUAUUAUUUAAGCCUUUUUCAUUUUCAAUAAUUAUAAGUUUUUUUGGUUUUGAUUUAAAUUUUAAAAAUUAAAAAAUAGUUUAAUUGUUGAACUAAACCAAAUAAAACCCAAACAAUUAAAUUAUUAAAUUAAAUUUCAAUUAGUUUGGUUCUUAAUGGAAAAAAAACCCAAUUGAUUUUAAAUUUAUUAUUUUUGUUAAAUCAAAAUUCAAUUAGUCUAGUUUGUAAUAAAGAAUAAAAAUCAAGGAAAAAAAAUGAGUUUCAACACACCCCUAUAAAAAUAAUCAUAAAAUAGGAAUCUUUAAAAAAUAACUCAGGUUUAAUGUACUCAUCGAUUAAAUAUGGUAUUUAGAAUGUUCAAAUAUAGUAUUUUAAUAGUGUAGUACUUUAAAUUAAAAAGCGCAUGACAUGCUAAUUAUUUUUAAAUUGUUACUUAAAAAUUAUAUUUUAUAAAUUAAGGUUUUUAUUUUAUGGUUUUUUUCGUACAAUUGUAUCUAAAUACACUUUUCCCAAAUAAACACCGAUGAAAUCCCUUUGAUUUUAUUUUAAAUUAUCAUUUAGAAUAUUUUCAUUGUCAUAUUACUAAUUUAAUAUUUAUAUUAAUAUUAAGGUGGUAUUUGGAAAUGAUUUUUGUUUUCUAUUUUUAAGAAUUGAAAUUAAUAAGAACUCUCAAAUAAUUAGUGGAGAUUUAUAUUAAAAAGAUAAUAAUUUUUAUAAUUAUUUAAAAAAUUGAAGUAUCAACAAAUUAUUACUAACUCAAAUUUUAAAAAUUCGUAUAAUAAUUCUUAGAUCCCGUUUGACAAUAUUUUUUAAAGUGUUUUUUUAUUAUAAAAACAAUUAAAAGAGGUUUUUGCGGUGUAAAAUAGGUAUUUGAAAAUAUUUUGAAAAAAACUUUUAAAAAUUUAUAAAAAAACACUUGAAGUAUUUUUUAAAUAAGCAAUUGGGACAUGUUUUUUUAAAAAAAUAUUUGAAAUUUUUUCAUAUAUUCAUAAAAUAUCAUUUAUUGCUAUCAUCAGUUGCCGUUUCACUCUUCGUUUUCCUUUUAUUAUCCUCUUCCUCUUUCAUUUCAUUUUCAUAAAAAUAAGUUUUUGAGUUUUUUUAAUAACAUAAUUACUUAUACUUUUUUAAAAUAAAAGUUUUUGGUUUAUUAUAAUAAUUUACUUUUUAAUAAAUAUUUGUUUUAGUAAUUUAUUAUUUAUUAAAAAUAGUUUUGUAGUUAUAUGAUAUAUUAUUAAAAAUAUUACUUAAAUCAUUUUUUCAGAUUAUCAUAAAAAUAUUUUUCACAUAAGUUCCGUAAAAUAAAACAUUUUCGAUAAAAACCACCGUCAUUGGAAGCAAUGCCAAAUGGGCUCUUAAUGACAUUAGGUAUAUGUCUCUUUUAUUUUUGGUUUUUUUUUAUAAAUAAUUUUAUAUCUUAUGUAGAAGAUACUUUAACACUUAUUUAGACAUACUUUAUGCUUUUGAUUUUAAAAACCAUAAAAUAAUUUAAAUAGGUCAAUAUGGAUUAAAUGGUUUAAAAAUAUAAUUAGGUUAAUAUUGAAAUUAUUAAAUAAGUGAAUAUGAGUAAAAUUCGUAUCAUGCAGACUUACUUCAAAAUAACCCAUUUAUUAAAGAGUUAUGCAGUUCGAUACAAUUUGACCCAAACCAAUUUAUAUUGGAUCCAAAUCCGCAAAAAACGUGUUGGUUUUCUAUCACGUUAGGGAAAAUAGGCAAACAUUGUAGUAGGUAUAAGUUAUAAUCCAUCCUAAGUUCCUAACAACUAUAACGACGCCGUUUUGACGGAUCAACGUAUUCAUGGAUCACUUGUUGCCGGUCAGUUUCACCUUUCCAACCCUCCAAUUGUCCCCUAAAAACUAUGGUCUCGAAACGGCGUCGUUUAGGAAGUUUGGAAUCUUUGGAUUUACAUAGACGUUGCUGAUCUCCAAAACCCUCAUUCCGGAGUUGGUCGUUCCGCUGGAAAGCUUCAAAGGUAACAUCGCCUUCUAUCCAUCUGAAAAUUCUCAGAUCUUUUAUUGUAAUAUUUUCUUGGUGCUAUGAUCUGCUGCAUCCAAUUCAGUUUCUCAUCAUCUUCGCUGCAAAUCUUCUAACUGAUGAAUACCGAUCUCUCUCUCUUUUUUCUUUUUUUCCUGAUUUUGCUAACUACAGAUCUGAUUUUGCCUUUGAAAGCACUAAUUUUGGUUCUGAAAAAUCAGUUAUCGAAUGAAUUAGUUUCUGAUUCCGACACCAGUUCAAUUUUUUGGUUCCUGAAUCGAGAAAGUACUUGGAAAAUGGCAAUCAAAUGGUGCUUUAAUUUAUUUGUGGUAUUUGAGCUUUAGAGAUGCUUUUCCUGCCUUUUAAUGUGACAUAGGUUGAUGUUGUUGUAGUGUAAUCAGAGCCUUAGGGUUCUCUUUGUUACAGAUCUGCUUCUGCUUUCUGUAAGUUUUAGGUUUGAUCUUUAUUAUCUCUGAGAAUCCAUAACAGGAGAUUAGGAUUUAUUAAUUGGAGAACUAUUAAAUUUUAAAGUGGAAGGGAGCAUGUGGUCUGCCAAUGAAGUCGGAAAAAAGGAGUGGAUGACUGUUGGAGUAUGCUUUUACCAUUUCUUCAUAGUCCUUUAUUUAUUUUUUUAAUGGGUUUCUUCAUAGUCCUUUAUAUAGGUGUAUUUUUUGGAGGUUCUGAAUUGAAUUCAACAAAACUAGAUCCUGGCUUAAAUAGGUAGUGUAGUAUUUCUAACACUUGAAAAUAUUUAGCUUUUAAGUAUUAAAAAUGUUAAAAACACUUCCUAAAAUCACUGUUAAACGUACUUUAGUUAGAUUUCUGUUAUUCUAGUUAUCAUAGGCUGAGGACAAACUCAGAUAACUGUUUUCAAUUUUACCAAAUGUCCAGAACUUAUUCCUAGUUUUGAUCUCUAUUUAUUUGUCUUUUGAAUUCUUUAUUUGCUGACAUGUUAUCUUAACUUGUCUGGGUGGUGUAGUUGGUUAUCACGCUAGUGUCACACACUGGAGGUCCCUGGUUUGAAUCUGGGCUCAGACAUUUGCAUUAAUUUUACCCGUUAAAAAAAAUAAAAUUGUUGACAUGUUAUCGUAAAAUGAGUGGGGAAUUUCAUGACAGUUAGCUGUACCUCAAAGCGUAGAGCUCAUACUGUGAGAAGGCAAAAUGCUUUGCUUCUGCUUUGCUCUUUUAAAAUUGGCAUUUUAUCCAUUACAUGCAUAUAUGUUCAUGUGGAUGCAUGAUGUGUGUGCUUUCUUAAGAUAGCUAUUCUAAGACAGAAAUAAGUAAUAAUUUCAUGGCUCAAUUUUGUUAAGCAUUGACAUGCCUGUUUAGCAUUGAUGGUUGGUUAUCUUCUAAUAGCCUGACUGAACACUUGUUUGACAAGGUUUUUGUCUGCCUUUUGUUUUGGUUUUGUUUUUACAUUAAAGGAUCAAGAGAGAUUGUCUUGUUGGGAACUCAAGGAAUAUGAAGCCCAUCUUUUGUGGCAACCUUGAGUAUGAUGCACGUCAGUCUGAUGUUGAGCGACUGUUCAGAAGAUAUGGGAAGGUUGAUAGGGUGGAUCUGAAGUCCGGUUAGUUGUUUUGCUGCUUGAGUUAGUUUUUCCUUUUACUUUAAAUCCUGUAAAAGUUUUGUUGUUUCAAAUUGAUAGUUGUCUUGUCCUUCAUUACCAUAUCAGUGUCUAUUGGCUACCUUUAAAUCUUGGUUU